Molecule: long non-coding RNA, 66112 nt
Filed under: Triticum aestivum (bread wheat)
Lineage: Eukaryota; Viridiplantae; Streptophyta; Magnoliopsida; Poales; Poaceae
Description: long non-coding RNA (TAES_LNC020502)
Source: RNAcentral
GGCACUGUGGGAGGAGUGUUGGCUGUGGUAGGAGCAAGGGCGGACGGGGAGCAGGGGCGACCGAGCGUGGAGCCAGGAGCGGGGCGGAGGGGCGGCUGGGCGCGUCGGAUGCAGCGGGGCAGAGGAGGAUUAAGCGGAGGGCGUGGGUUGCUGCGUGGAGGAAAGUUUAGUGGCUUAACCGUACACUAACCGCGUGGUUGAUGCUAAACAUUAAACAUUGAGAUGAUUUUGAUCGUUAGAUCUCUCCAUUAGACGGUUGAGAUGUAUUGGUUCUCUGCCCUCUCAUGUUUUUAUAGGGGUAGUAGAUGCUUAAUUUGCUGCUCAUGUGUUGUCCCUUCUGUUGCCAGGACGAAAUGCUUCUCGGAAUUCUUAAAGAGGAAGACAAUGGAGCCAUGAUGUUGUUGUGCAACAGGCUAUGUUUUUUGCAAUACCAUUUGUCUUGGCUGUGUAUCUUACUUUGUGUGUGCUGGGAUACUCAAAAAGCUAUCUCUGUAAUUUAAAUCUGUGUUAUGUUGUCUGGCGUGUGUAACCUUAUUUUGUGUGUGCUGGGAUACUCAAAAAGAUAUCUGUCUAAUUUAAAUCUGUGUUAUGUUGUCUGGCGUGUGUAAUCUUAUUUUGUGUGUGCUGGGAUAUUCAAAAAGAUAUCUGUCUAAUUUAAAUCUGUGGUGUAUUCUUCACUGAACUUUACUUGUAGUACAGUUUCAGGUCUAAAAAGGUUAAACGACCUAAUAAUACAUAAUGGAUUGGACAUGGGCUUUGGCCCAGUAAAAUAAAUGUGUAUACAGUUUUAUGGGCCGGCCUUAAUGGGCUUGGCUUGCCAUAAAUUGUGGACCCACCGACUCUCGAAGCUCUAGCCAUUAGAGAAGCCUUGGCACUGGCGGAUGAUCUAUAUUUGAGGCGGGUUGAAGUUGCAUCGGAUUGCAAAGUGGUCGUGGAAGACUUACAGAAGGACAAUCUUGCGAGCUACGGUGCAAUUGUACAUGAAAUAAUAGCCCACUCUUUAGUUUUUGAGUUCUGUAAUUUUAAACAUGAGUCUAGGAGCUCCAAUUAUAAAGCUCACAACUUAGCGAGGCAUGCAUUAUCUCUCGGUGGUGGCCGCUGUGUCUGGUUAGGCCAUCCCGGAAACCUACCUUCCGUCCCUGUAAACAUUGAGACAAAUUAAUAAAGCCUCGUGACGUUGCCUCAAAAAAAAAAACUACCAAUGCCACGUCAGAUCUGGUGGCCAUGUGGUUGAUGCCACAUCAGAUCCUAUGUGGAUGAGGCACACAGGUAUUGACCAAAAAAUUUGUCAUUAAAAACUAUGACCUAUAAUUCUUUGUCUUAAAAACUACGACCAAAACUUAGAAAAGGUCAUGUUUGUUUGUUCUUGACGGCCAACUGUUGACCUACUCAGUUUGGUCAAAAAAAGGUCAUACCUUGAAAACAACAACGAUUUAUUGACCAAAAUGGUGGGUCACUAUCGAUCGUAUUUCUUGUAGUGAACAAUUUUGGUAACAAUGUGUAUAGAGGAAAUUUUAAUCCUAGGCCUUAUCCUAGUAAUCCCUCUAAUAAUUAUGGUAAUUCCUACAACAAUUCUUAUGGAAAUUAUAAUAAGAUGCCUUCUGAUUUUGAAUCUGAUAUUAAAGAAUUUAUUACUUCGCAAAAGAAUUUUAAUGCUAUGAUUGAAGAAAAAUUGCUUAAGAUUGAUGAUUUGGCUAGGAACGUCGAUAGAAUUGCUGUUGAUGUUAAUUCUUUGAACCUUAGAACUAUUCCACCUAAGCAUGAUAUCAAUGAGUCUCUCAAAGCCAUGAGAAUUUCCAUUGAUGAGUGCAAAGAAGGAACCGCUAGGAUGCGUGCUAAGAAAGAUGCCUUUAUAAGAGCAUGUUUUUCUAGUUGCUACGAAAAUAAAGAUGAAGAUCUAAAAGUUAUUGAUGUGUUCCCUAUUAAAUCUUUGUUUUGCAAUAUGAAUCUUGAUAAUGAUGGGACUGAAUAUGAUCCACAUUUACCUAGAAGGCAUUCCAAGAAUUCGAAAUAUGCUGAUCUUGAUGCUAAAUUUGAUAAAAGUGGGAUUGAAGAAAUUAAAACCCUAGAUGUUGCUAAACCCACUAUUAUGGAUUUCAAGGAAUUUAACUAUGAAAAUUGCUCUUUGAUUGAUUGUAUUUCCUUGUUACAAUCCGUACUAAAUUCUCCUCAUGCUUAUAGUCAAAAUAAAGCGUUUACUAAACAUAUCAUUGAUGCCUUGAUGCAAUCUUAUGAAGAAAAACUUGAAUUGGAAGUUUCUAUCCCUAGAAAACUUUAUGAUGAGUGGGAACCAACUAUUAAAAUUAAAAUUAAAGAUCAUGAAUGCUAUGCUUUAUGUGAUUUGGGUGCUAGUGUUUCCACGAUUCCAAAGACUUUAUGUGAUUUGUUAGGCUUCCGUGAUUUUGAUGAUUGCUCUCUAAACUUGCACCUUGCGGAUUCCACUAUUAAGAAACCUAUGGGAAGAAUUAAUGAUGUUCUUAUUGUUGCAAAUAGGAAUUAUGUGCCAAUAUAUUUUAUUUUUCUUGACAUAGAUUGCAAUCCUUCAUGUCCUAUUAUUCUUAGUAGACCUUUCCUUAGAACGAUUGGUGCAAUUAUUGAUAUGAAGGAAGGAAAUAUUAUAUUCCAAUUUCCAUUAAGGAAAGGCAUGGAACACUUUCCUAGAAAGAAAAUUAAAUUACCUUAUGAAUUUAUUAUGAGAUCCACUUAUGGAUUUCCUACCAAAGAUGGCAAUACCUAGAUCUAUUCUUACUUGUUAUGCCUAGCUAGGGGUGUUAAACGGUAGCGCUUGUUGGAGGCAACCCAAUUUUAUUUUUAUUCCUUGAUUUUUUGCUCCUGUUUAGUAAUAAAUAGUUUAUCUAGCCUCUUUUUUGGUUGUGUUUUUUAUGUUUAAUUAGUGUUUGUGCCAAGUAGAACCGUUGGGAAGACUUGGGGAAAGUCUUGCUGAACUUGCUGUAAAAAAACAGAAACUUUAGCUCUCACGAGAACUGCUGUCAUUUUUAUUUGGAGAGUGCUAUUUAGUUAAUUCUUUUUGAAGAUGAUUAAUAGAUAAAGUCCUUACAUCCAUCAAUUUAUUUUAGAAUUUUUGGGGUUCCAGAUCUUGCGCUAGCUACAGAUUACUACAAACUAUUCUGUUUUUGACAGAUUCUGUUUUUCGUGUGUUGUUUGCUUAUUUUGAUGAAUCUAUGGCUAGUAAAAUAGUUUAUAAACCAUAGAGAAGUUGGAAUACAGUAGGUAUAACACCAAUAUAAAUAAAGGAUGAAUUCAUUACAGUACCUUGAAGUGGUCUUUUAUUUUCUUUCGCUAACGGAACUCACGAGAUUUCCUACUUUAAGUUUUGUGUUGUGAAGUUUUCAAGUUUUGGGUAAAGAUUUGAUGGAUUAUGGAACAAGGAGUGGCAAGAGCCUAAGCUUGAGGAUGCCCAUGGAACCCCCAAGAUAAUCUAAGGACAUCUAAAAUCCAAAGCUUGGGGAUGCCCCGGAAGGCAUCCCCUCUUUCGUCUACUUCUAUCGGUAACUUUACUUGGAGCUAUAUUUUUAUUUACCACAUGAUAUGUGUUUUGCUUGGAGCGUCUUGUAUGAUUUGAGUUUUUGCUUGUUAGUUUACCACAAUCAUCCUUGCUGUACACACCUUUUGAGAGAGCCAUACAUGAUUUGGAAUUUGUUAGAAUACUCUAUGUGCUUCACUUAUAUCUUUUGAGUUAUAUAAUUUUGCUCUAGUACUUCACUUAAAUGUUUUAGAGCACGGAGGUGGAUUUGUUUUAUAGAAACUAUUGAUCUCUAAUGCUUCACUUAGAUUAUUUUAAGAGUCUUAAUAGCAUGGUAAUUUGCUUAAAAUCUUAAUAUGCUUGGUAUACAAGAUUAAUAAUAAAACUUUCUUAUGAGUGUGUUGAAUACUAUGAUAAGUUUGAUACUUGAUAAUUGUUUUGAGAUAUAGAGAUGGUGAUAUUAAAGUCAUGCUAGUUGAGUAGUUCUGAAUUUGAGAAAUACUUGUGUUGAAGCUUGUGAUUCCCGUAGCAUGCACGUAUGGUGAACCGUUAUGUGAUUCGGAGCAUGAUUUAUUUAUUGAUUGUCUUCCUUAUGAGUGGCGGUCGGGGACGAGCGAUGGUCUUUUCCUACCAAUCUAUCCCCCUAGGAGCAUGCGCGUAAUACUUUGCUUUGAUAACUUGUAGAUUUUUGCAAUAAGUACAUGAGUUUUUUAUGACUAAUGUUGAGUCCAUGGAUUAUACGCACUCUCACCCUUCCACCUUUGCUAGCCUCUCUAACACCGCACACCUUUCGCCGGUAUCAUACACCCACCAUAUACCUUCCUCAAAACAGCCACCAUACCUACAUAUUAUGGCAUUUCCAUAGCCAUUCCGAGAUAUAUUGCCAUGCAACUUUCCACCGUUCCGUUUAUUAUGACACAUCCCAUCAUUGUCAUAUUGCUUAUCAUGAUCAUGUAGUUGACAUCGUAUUUGUGGCAAAGCCACCAUUCAUAAUUCUUUCAUACAUGUCACUCAUACAUCAUUGCAUAUCCCGGUACACCGCCGGAGGCAUUCACAUAGAGUCAUAUUUUGUUCUAAGUAUCGAGUUGUAAGAAAAAUAAAGUGUGAUGAUCAUCAUUAUUAGAGCAUUGUCCCAGUGAGGAAAGGAUGAUGGAGACUAUGAUUCCCCCACAAGUCGGGAUGAGACUCCGGAUGAAAAAUAAAUAAAAGAAGCCAAAGAAGCCCAAAUAAAAAAAAGAGAAAGAAAAGAGGCCAUAAAAAAGAGAAAAGGCCCAAAUUAAAAAAAUGAGAGUAAAAGAGAGAAGGGACAAUGUUACUAUCCUUUUACCACACUUGUGCUUCAAAGUAGCACCAUGAUCUUCAUAGCAGAGAGUCUCUCAUGUUAUCACUUUCAUAUACUAGUGGGAAUCUUUCAUUAUGGAACUUGACUUGUAUAUUACAAUGAUGGGCUUUCUCAAAUUGCCCUAAGUCUUCAUGAGCAAGCAAGUUGGAUGCACACCCGCUUAGUUUUUUUAGCUUUCAUAUACUUAUAGCUCUAGUGCAUCCGUUGCAUGGCAAUCCCUACUCACUCACAUUGAUAUCUAUUGAUGGGCAUCUCCAUAGCCCGUUGAUACGCCUAGUUGAUGUGAGACUAUCUUCCCCUUUUUGUCUUCUCCACAACCGCCAUUCUAUUCCACCUAUAGUGCUAUAUCCAUGGCUCACGCUCAUGUCUUGCGUGAAAAUUGAAAAAGUUUUGAGAAUGUCAAAAGUAUGAAACAAUUGCUUGGCUUGUCAUCGGAGUUGUGCAUGAUUUAAAUAUUUUGUGUGGUAAAGAUAGAGCAUAGCCAGACUAUAUGAUUUUGUAGGGAUAACUUUCUUUAGCCAUGUUAUUUUGAGAAGACAUAAUUGCUUUGUUAGUAUGCUUGAAGUAUUAUUAUUUUUAUGUCAAUAUGAACUUUUGUCUUGAAUUUUUCGGAUCUGAAUAUUCAUACCACAAUUAAGAAGAAUUACAUUAAAAUUAUGCCAAGUAGCACUCCGCAUCAAAAAUUCUGUUUUUAUCAUUUACCCACUCGAGGACGAGCAGGAAUUAAGCUUGGGGAUGCUUGAUACGUCUCCAACGUAUCUAUAAUUUUUGAUUGCUCCAUGCUAUUAUCUACUGUUUUGGACAUUAUUGGGCUUUAUUAUCCACUUUUAUAUUAUUUUUGGGACUAACCUAUUAACCGGAGGCCCUUCCCAGAAUUGCUGUUUUUUGCCUGUUUUAGGGUUUCGAAGAAAAGGAAUAUCAAACGGAGUCCAAACGGAAUGAAACCUUUGGGAACGUGUUUUUAGGAAGAUUAUGAUCCGGGGGACUUGGACCCUACAUCAUGAAAGAAAACAGGAGGGCACGAGGUAGGGGGCACGCCCUCCACCCUCGUCGCCCCCCUGUUGCUCCACCGACGUACUCAUUCCUCCUAUAUAUACCUACGUACCCCCAAACGAUCAAAUACGGAGCCAAAACCCUAAUUCCACCACCAUAACUUUCUGUAUCCACGAGAUCCUAUCUUGGGGUCUGUUCCGGAGCUUCGCCGGAGGGGGCAUCGAUCACGGAGGGCUUCUACACCAACACCGUAGCCUCUCUGAUGAAGUGUGAGUAGUUUACCUCAGACCUACGGGUCCAUAGUUAGUAGCUAGAUGGCUUCUUCUCUCUUUUUGGAUCUCAAUACAAUGUUCCUCCCCUCUCUUGUGGAGAUCUAUUCGAUGUAUUCUUCUUUUUGCGGUGUGUUUGUUGAGACCGAUGAAUUCUGGGUUUAUGAUCAAGUCUAUCUAUGAAUAAUAUUUGAAUCUUCUCUGAAUUCUUUUAUGCAUGAUUGGUUAUCUUUGCAAGUCUCUUCGAAUUAUCAAUUUGGUUUGGCCUACUAGAUUGAUCUUUCUUGCAAUGGGAGAAGUGCUUAGCUUUGGGUUCAAUCUUGCAGUGUCCUUUUCCAGUGACAGUAAGGGCAGCAAGGCACGUAUUGUAUUGUUGCCAUCUAGGAUAACAAGAUGGGGUUUUCUUCAUAUUGCAUGAGUCUAUCCCUCUACAUCAUGUCAUCUUGCUUAAGGCGUUACUCUAUUUUUAACUUAAUACUCUAGAUGCAUGCUGGAUAGCGGUCGAUGAGUGGAGUAAUAAUAGUAGAUACAGGCAGGAGUCGGUCUACUUGUCUCGGACGUGAUGCCUAUAUACAUGAUCAUACCUAGAUAUUCUCAUAACUAUGCUCAAUUCUGUCAAUUGCUCAACAGUAAUUUGUUCACCCACCGUAGAAUACUUAUGCUCUCGAGAGAAGCCACUAGUGAAACCUAUGGCCCCGGGUCUAUCUUUAUCAUAUUAAUCUCCUAAUACUUAGUUACUUCCUUUGCUAUUUACUUUGCCUUUAUUUUACUUUGCAUCUUUAUCAUAAAAAUACCAAAAAUAUUAUCUUAUCAUAUCUAUCAGAUCUCACUCUCGUAAGUGGCCCUAUAGGGAUUGACAACCCCUAUUUCGUUGGUUGCGAGGAUUUAUUUGUUUUGUGCAGGUGCGAGGGACUCGCGCGUAGCCUCCUACUGGAUUGAUACCUUGGUUCUUAAAAACUGAGGGAAAUACUUACGCUACUUUGCUGCAUCAUCCCUUCCUCUUCGGGGAAAACCAACGCAGUGCUAAAAGAGGUAGCAGCAGCCUAUUCAUAAGCAUGGACAAAACCACACCAGACUGAGCUCCAAAAAGAUUCUCGGCAUGGAACCGGAGCAGAACUAUCCCCUGGAAGCUCGAGUUCUACCCCAGCAAGAACGGACCCAUCCUCCGUGAUUUCACACAGAUAGGAAAGCGCUGGCAAAGCAUACCGAGCCACCACGGCUUCCAAAAUGGGUAUAACAGUUGAAAUAAGAGCACACAUCCUGCUCACACGUAACGAAAGUCAAAAGGAAAAACUGAAAAAUAACACGACCCCCGGGGCAGACCUGGAACAACGAGAUUAUCAGUACAUCAACAGCCAUGACAACAUGCAUAGACAAACAAAUAUAUCUGAACCCACAAGUAACGCACACGCAAUGGAAAAGGAGAGCAAACCUUCAGGAGCAGUAGCAGGCCACAGAUUCAGAAACAAAGCAGUUUUCCCAACCUGCAAAACAAACAUAGAAAAAACCAUUAGAACACAACAAGUCACGGAGCACAUCUAUACUCCAUCAAAGGUAGUAAACAAGUAUAGAGCAACAUGACGACACAUCUAUACUCCAUCAAAGGUAGUAAACACGACAACAUUCUUCUUUUAACCAAAGGAAACAACAUCACUCAGGAUGCCAAAACACCAUCCACUAUAUAUAUAUAUAUAUAUAUAUAUAUAUCAGCUUUUAUCGCUGAGCAAUCUAACCGUAGACAUGAAAGAAGCGAAGGACCAUCAAUUAAGCUCACACACCGUGUUUUUUCAGGCAAAGUAACAGACAGAAGAAGUAUAAACCUUCAGGGUCACUGCAGAGGCAGCAAGCAAGCAAAACGGACUAAGAACAACACUUUCUCAGACCUAAUCUUUCGGGCUAUCCCUAAGCAGCACAUCUCUUGAUAAUCUAGAAACAGAGACAAAGAGGCAAAAGAGCAGCAUAUUACCAGAACGACGAAGCCGAACCAGAACAACAACGAGCAAACGAACACGGACGAACAGCCAACAAACCUGAGAACAAACCAAAACACAAUUCGUACUCAUAUUAGUCGCCGACGAACAACACGAAGCAUGCACAGAUAACGGAACGCGAAAAUGCCAAAGUAGAGCACAUGAUAGCAGGCAACCAUCCUAUCAAGCAGCACCCAAGCAUUUCAACAAACACCUCAAAGGCAUAUGCCCACACAGAGGCAGAAGAGGCGAGCACUAACCUGGACAACAAGAAUGGAAUGACGCACGCUUGCACGCAAGAGCCAACGGGAAAAACUGGCAGCAAACUGCGCACCAAUGAAGCAAACACAAACAAAGCUGGUCAGUAAUCAAGAAAAAGGAGCGGCAGAAAGGAACAAGGAAAGGAUAAGAGGAUGAACCUCAAGCAACACCACCCAUGGAGCAACGGGCGUCCAUGGCGACAACCGCAGUGCAAGCUGUUUGAACUGGACGAACCUAGGCAAACAGGAGAAGACGCGGCGGUGUGGAAGCGUGGACAAAAGCGAGCGGACGAAGCGAGCGUGGAGAAAAUGAGGGACAGAACAAGCGGGAAAGGGAAAACUGGAGACAAAAUACCCCCCGGCCACAGCGAUGGCACGGGCAACCCUCACAGAGACUCAUGGGAACCCACCACACAUGCAUUGACACGCGGCCUGGCUGUCGGGCCCAGGGGUCCCAGAGCCCACCGUCAUAGACUGCAAUGAACUCACAGAGGGUACCCACCAGACUGGGCACCACCGAUGCACACACUGGUCACGCAUGCCCACGCGGCAGCGCAGACACGUCCACCGCCCCCCCUCGCCCACGCGUGGGGCACAAUAACAAGCCACCAGCGAGCGUACACACAAACACAUGCACAGGAAUACACAAACGAGCAACAGAACGGUGGCCCCGUCCCAGCGCCCGCCCCACAGUCAGCGACACGCGGCAGAGCACACGAGCGCCCGAGCAAAUCCUGUCCAACCACCAAUCCGGGCAGAGCAAGCACCCACCCCGCCCAGGCACGGACAGAUGGACGACGGGUCAAAGCAAACACAGGCAAACACUCUAGCCCACUGACGCGCGAGGCCAACGAACGCGGGACCCAAGCAGCAGCCAGCAGCGCCGGCAUGGAAGACGGUAAUGGAUGACAUGGGGAUAAAAGAAGCGGCAGUACAGCCCGGAAAUGACGUGGCAUGACGCUGCCGUUCGCCCACGAGACAAGCGAGGCGAGACCGCUCGCCCACUCUCCAUGCGCCGCUCGCCCAUCCACUAUCGACAUGACCAAAUCAUGAGGUCAGCCAUGGCAAUCCAGACAAAACGAACAACGCGCACACGGGAAAGACACACCAAGAAGCCGACGCGCGGGACCAUGCGGCAGGCAGGCCCACCUACAACCGCACCACCAGCGAGCGAGAGGGAAAACAAGGGGCAGCGCAAAACCCGCACCCACGCAGCAACCACGACGCGCGCUUCGCGCCCACGCAGCAACCACGACGCGCGCUUCGCGUGCACGUGGCGCGGCAGGAGCGGCUGCCUCGAGCACCGAAGAAACCAGCACCCAGCCAAUUCGACCCAGCGCCAGGCCCAUGCGUCAUCCCUGGCUAGGAUCUACCGCACGGUUAAAACUACAGUGGUCAAUUUCAGCGAAGAUCCGACGGACAGGACGCAAAAAAGACUCCAUUGACCACGAUCUAACGGCCAUCGAAGGAAGCGGUUUGGGGAGCCCUGUCCAUGCGAGUUGCCCAGCCUCAUUAUUUUUUUAAAUGUCAUGUUGCCAAUAUGCUUAAUUGGCAUUGCAUGAGGCUGGAUAAUACUAUCUAUAAUACCCUCACUACAGGAAGAAAACUAGAAAUACUACGGUGAAGGAUUCAAUCCAAGUUGGGAGAUCUCCUCCUGCCUCCAGCCCCCCUCAUCCAAUCCUAACCUAGUUGUCACAACCCUCUCCCCUAUCACCUAUAGGCCCUUUCCUGUCGUCGCUUGAGGUCGUUGUCGACCAAGGCCAUGCAACAACCAAGGACGGCGAUGGCGAGGAAACCUCUCCUGACUCCAUUUUCCGUUGCCUUUGGUCUCAAGAUGGUGUCCCGGUCAUUCCUCCAGUUACUGGUGGUAGUCAUGGCUUCGGCCUCCUAUGGUGGCACCCUAAUUUGACCGACGAUCGCAACUCAUCCAUCCACCUUAUCCUCUAGGCCGUCACCGGACGGAUUGAGGUUCUACCUGCCGAUGGAUCUGGUUUUCCAACACCUUCUUGGACGUUUAUUGUUCGAUGCCCUCUCGCCCCUCCCACUCGGUUGUCUCGGUCCAGAUCCGGUCGGCCCAUUGCUGGAUCGUGUAUCCUACUCUGCACCCCACUCAUUUAUCACCUCGGCAUCUUGCUCUCUGACACCGGAGAUGGUCAUUGUUCGUUCAGGACAUGCACAUUGCUCUCCCCAGUCCCUGUUGUCUACCACCUCCUUUGUCGCAUUGAUCCCUCCCUGUUGGGUCUCCCCUCUUAUGCUCGAGUUGGUGGUGGCCGGUUAGGUUUUGUAGGGUGCUUGCUGCGUGGAGUCUCUAUGGUUGCCUUCUCAUGACUGACGCAUUGCUUGUGCAUGAUCUUCUUCAGACUCUACUCAAAGAAUUACAAGUUGAAGCACCUCCAACAACAAAAUUGCUUGAGAAACGUAUCUACCCCAUAGAAAUACAUACCUACGACCUCCAUAUGGAGGUAGAAACACUUAACACAAAAUCUCACAAAAACAAGAUGGUUUGCGGACAACACUAUAAUAAAUUUUGCAGCUAGAGGUGAAUUAGUUGGCUAGUCCCAUGGGAUAAAGCAUGCCACCACUUGCAUCCCUACCCAUAUCUCCUCUCUCUCCAUAUCUUCACCCUUCCCCUCCCCUUCAUGCACAAUGCGACAACUGCCCUAGAACUCCCCUCCCCCUUUCAACAUUUGAAAUAGGUCUAGACAUGUCAUACUACACGCGCGUCAGUGAGGACAUGGUCAUGAUGUUGCUUGAUAACCCACAAGUAUAGGGGUUCGCAACAGUUUUCGAGGGUAGAGUAUUCAACCCAAAUUUAUUGAUUCGACACAAGGGGAGCCAAAGAAUAUUCACAAGUAUUAGCAGCUAAGUUGUCAAUUCAACCACACCUGGAAACUUAAUAUCUGCAGCAAAGUGUUUAGUAGCAAAGUAAUAUGAUAGUAGUGGUAACGAUAGCAAAAGUAACGGUAGCAAAAGUAAUGUUUUUGGUAUUUUGUAGUGAUGAUAACAAUAGCAACGGAAAAGUAAAUAAGCGAAGAACAAUAUAUGGAAAGCUCGUAGGCAAUGGAUCAGUGAUGGAGAAUUAUGUCAGAUGUGGUUCAUCAUGUAACAUUCAUAACAUAGGGUGACACAGAACUAGCUCCAAUUCAUCAAUGUAAUGUAGGCAUGUAUUCCGAACAUAGUCAUACGUGCUUAUGGAAAAGAACUUGCAUGGCAUCUUUUGUCCUACCCUCCUAUGGCAGCGGGGUCCUAAUGGAAACUAAGGGAUAUUUAGGCCUCCUUUUAAUAGAGUACCAGACCAAAGCAUUAACAUAUAGUGAAUACAUGAACUCCUCAAACUACGGUCAUCACCGGGAGUGGUCCCGAUUAUUGUCACUUCGGGGUUGCCGGAUCAUAACACAUAGUAGGUGACUAUAGACUUGCAAGAUAGGAUCAAGAACUCACAUAUAUUCAUGAAAACAUAAUAGGUUCAGAUCUGAAAUCAUGGCACUCGGGCCCUAGUGACAAGCAUUAAGCAUAGCAAAGUCAUAGAAACAUCAAUCUCAGAACAUAGUGGAUACUAGGGAUCAAACCCUAACAAAACUAACUCGAUUAUAUGAUAAAUCUCAUCCAACCCAUCACCGUCCAGCAAGCCUACGAUGGAAUUACUCACGCACGGCGGUGAGCAUCAUAAAAUUGGUGAUGGAGGAUGGUUGAUGAUGAUGACGACGACGGAUUCCCCUCUCCGGAGCCCCGAACGGACUCCAGAUCAGCCCUCCCGAGAGAGUUUAGGGCUUGGCGGCGGCUCCGUAUCGUAAAACAUGAUGAAUCUUUUUUCUCUGAUUUUUUUCUCCCCGAACACGAAUAUAGGGAGUUGGAGUUGAGGUCGGUGGAGCUCUAGGGGGCCCACGAGGCAGGGGGGCGCGCCCCCACCCUCAUGGCUAGGGUGUGGCCCCCCUGGCCUUGAUUCUUUGCCAGUAUUUUUUAUUAUUUCCAAAAAUAAUCUCUGUGGAGUUUCAAGUCAUUCCGAGAACUUUUUUUUUCUGCACAUAAAUAACAUGAUGGCAAUUAUGCUGAAAACAGCGUCAGUCCGGGUUAGUUCCAUUCAAAUCAUGCAAAUUAGAGUCCAAAAAAGGGCAAAAGUGUUUGGAAAAGUAGAUACGACAUAGACGUAUCAACUCUCCCAAGUUUAAACCUUUGCUUGUCCUCAAGCAAUUCAGUUGAUAAACUGAAAGUGAUAAAGAAAAACUUUUGCAAACUCUGUUUGCUCUUGUUGUUGUAAAUAUGUAAAGCCAACAUUCAAGUUUUCAGCAAAGAUUAUGAACUAACCAUAUUCCCAAUAACAUUUAGGUCUCAACUUUACUCAUAUAAAUGGCAUAAUCAACUAGCGAGCGAUAAUAAUAAAUCUCGGUUGACAACACUUUCUCAAAACAAUCAUGAUAUGAUAUAACAAGAUGGUAUCUCGCUAGCCCUUUCCAAGACCGCAAAACAUAAAUGCAGAGCACCUUUAAAGAUCAAGGACUGACUAGACAUUGUAAUUCAUGGUAAAAGAGAUCCAGUCAAGUCAUACUCAAUGUAAACUAACAGUAAUGAAUGCAUAUGACAGCGGUGCUCUCCAACUGGUGCUUUUUAAUAAGAGGGUGAUGACUCAACAUAAAAGUAAAUAGAUAGACCCUUCGCAGAGGGAAGCAGGGAUUUGUAGAGGUGCCAGAGCUUGAUUUUGAAAUAGAUAUGAAUAAUAUUUUGAGUGGCAUACUAUCAUUGUCAACAUAACAACCAAGAGAUGGCGAUAUCUUCCAUGCUACACACAUUAUAGGCGGUUCCCAAACAGAAUGGUAAGGUUUAUACCCCCCCUCCACCAACAAGCAUCAAUCCAUGGCUUGCUCGAAACAACGAGUGCCUCCAACUAACAACAGUCCCGAGGGAGUUUUGUUUGCAGUUAUUUUGAUUUGAUUUGCAUAAAUCAUGGGACUGGGCAUCCCGGUGACCAACCAUCUUCUCGUGAGUAAGGAGCGAAGUCCAAUCCUCUUGAGAAUAACCCGCCUAACAUGGAAGAUACAGACAGCCCUAGUUGAUACAUGGGCUAUUCGAGCAUACAAAACAGAAUGUUUAUUUGAAGGUUUAGAGUUUGGCACAUACAAAUUUACUUGGAACGACAGGUAGAUACCGUAUAUAGGUAGGUGUCAGUGUCAAAACCGGCGGAUCUCGGGUGGGGGGUCCCGAACUGUGCGUCUAAGGUGGAUGGUAACAGGAGGCAGGGGACACGAUGUUUACCUAGGUUCGGGCCCUCUCGAUGGAGGUAAAACCCUACGUCUUGCUUGAUUGAUCUUGAUGAUAUGAGUAUUACAAGAGUUGAUCUACCACGAGAUCAUAGAGGCUAAACCCUAGAAGCUAGCCUAUGGUAUGAUUGUCUGUUGUUCUACGGACUAAACCCUCCGGUUUAUAUAGACACUUGAGGGGGCUAGGGUUACACAGAGUCGGUUACAAGGGAGGAGAUCUACAUAUCCGUAUUGCCAAGCUUGCCUUCCACGCCAAGGAAAGUCCCAUCCGAACACGGGAUGAAGUCUUCAAUCUUGUAUCUUCAUAGUCCAAUAGUCCGACCAAAGGAUAUAGUCCGGCUGUCCAGAGACCCCCUAAUCCAGGACUCCCUCAGUAGCCCCUGAACCAGACUUCAAUGACGAUGAGUCCGGCGCGCAGUUUUGUCUUCGGCAUUGCAAGGCGGGUUCCUCCUCCGAAUACUCCAUAGAAGAUUUUGAACACAAGGAUAGUGUCCGGCUCUGCAAAACAAGUUCCACAUACCACCGUAGAGAGAAUAAUAUUUCCACGAAUCUAAUCUGCUGACACGUUUGACAGCAUGACAUCAUGCCACUGCCCUGUCAUUAUCCGAACCGUUUUUUCUCAACCAGCUACUGCACACAUCGCGAGGUGGUUUCCUUGGCACGUCUUGUCGAAGCAGAGAUCGUGUCCCCUUAUCACGGGAUUCUCAUCAGUACGGACGUGGGUAACCCAACCGCGUCAUCAAUUACGGCGCUUGGGGAAUAAGCGAUUUUAUCAGGCAUGUGGGGAGGCGCGUCACCUCUUCCACCCUUAUAAAGGGACAAGGAUUCACCCAUUUUACCCACGCCUUCUACCUCCUUACUUAUCCAUUCCUACGCACUCAAGCUCCAGCGCCCAAGUUCGCGUCUUUCUUCUCAAACCACUCCAAACAUGUCCGGAGCAGGAGGCAAGUGGAUGGUCUCCUCCGUCACGGAGGAGCACAUCGCAAAGUUACGGGAAGCCGGAUAUCUCGCCGCGGAUAUCAGGCACCGGCUGCCAGAUGCGGGGCAGAUCAUCCCUACGCCCGAACCCCAUGAGAGGGUAGUUUUUCUUACCCACUUCGUCUGCGGACUGGGAUUUCCCCUCCACCCGUUUGUCUGCGGGCUCAUGUUUUACUACGGGCUGGAUUUUCAUGAUCUGGCCCCCAAUUUCAUCCUCAACAUCUCAGCGUUUAUCGUCCUGUGCGAGGCCUUCCUCUGCAUCAGGCCCCACUUCGGCCUAUGGCUGAAAACCUUCAAUGUUAAACCGAAGGUAGUGGUCGGCCAGCAAGCAGAGUGCAGAGGCGCCAUGGCGGGCAAAAUGCCUAACGUCACCUGGCUCGAGGGCUCCUAUGUGGAGACCAUAAAGGGGUGGCAAUCGGGGUGGUUCUACAUCACCGAGCCACGCGACACCAACUGGGUGGUGGCCCCCAAAUUUCGAUCCGGAAUCCCCACGCGGCUCACCUCCUAAAAAGAGAAGGGCCUGUCAUGGGGUUCUCCGAUAGAGCUGACCGGACUCCAAACCUGCAUCAGGAACAUGAUGAGUAAGAAAAUCAAGCUCGUCAACGUGGUCCAGGUCAUGCUCUUCCGCCGGAUCCUCCCGUGUCAAUGACUGGCAUUCAAUUUGUGGGAGUUCGACCCGGCCAAGCACCAGACGCUGCGAGAGCUCUUUGACAUGACACACAAGGACGUCUGGAAGGUGCUGUUCAAGGGCGCCGAGGUACCUCCUCCCCUUACCGAGGACCGCGAACUCAGCGCAAAGCGCUAUGCCAAUCCGGUAAGUUUUCAUAUCUCACAGGAUACUUAUUUGCCCCAGUUUAAUCAUAUGCGGGAUCUAAGCUUCCACGCCAUUAACAGGACUGGGUAAAGAUAACGGAGCAGCUUGAUUGCCCAGCCCCCCUACCUAAAGAUCCUGCAGAUGCUCUCCUAACGGAGAUGCUGGCUCCGGCACCUUACGAGGUGCCGGCGAAGAAGACCAAGAAGAAGGCCCCGGGGACCCGAAAGGGUCUUCGGCGCAAGGUUAUAUCGGACUCAUCGUCCGAUGACUCUGACGCGCACUCCUCCCACGAAAACAAGGAGGAUGAGGAGGAAAGUUCUCCCCCCCAGCCGGGGGAGACAAGAAAAGGAAGGCCGACCCAACCGGGGAGUCCGAAGGGUCCAAGAAGGGAAGGACCCUCCUUCCGGACUGCUCCACGACGGCCGCCUACAGCGGCGAUGAGUGGUUACCCAGGGAGAAGCCCCUGGUGAAGUCGUAAGUAUCCGGACACCAUAGUAAUUCAUGGUAUGUUUUAUUGAAUUGUUUCUCAUUACGCCGUAUAUGAUUAUGUAGUCUGUCCCGAGCUCAUCUCGACAUAGAUUCGUCGGACGGUUCAUUGGACUCGUCGGAUAUGAAUAGUGAUUCACUUCUGACCGCCUCCACCCCUUGCCCUACGGACAACGUCGAGGUGUUGUCCCAAAAGGCACCGAGCCGAGGGGAGGUAGUCCUGGGGGCGCCUCGAGGCGACCUUUCGGACCCUAGGCGCAAAGGGAGCAAGACUCCCACGGGCUCCAAGUUUGGCCCCCAGCCAAAUACUGCCCCGGAACCUUCGGUGGUUCCGGACUCCGACAGAUGAUCCCCCGUUAAGGGGGGCAAGCCGCCCGUGCCGGUGUCCUCUAUCCAUCCAGAGGCACCAGACAACUUGCUGGAAGCGCUUCGCGGCGCUUCCAUCAACGAAGAGCACCACACUAUCAUGAGUGCGGUGAUCGAGAAAGUUCAGUCCGCCAAACACGGACUGACCAAAGCUUGCGCCAGCCUCCUAACAGGCUUUAAGGUAAGCAAUCAAAAUAUAAGAAAAUAUUACCGCAUAGACAAUAGCCCCUGAUGCUCUGUUCGGCGUUCGCGAAGAAAGGCCGAACAGAGGAUCAAAUGAUGACUCGGGAGUCUAAUCAGAAUAUGUCUAUGUGUAUGUGCAGGCUUCACUGCUAGCCGCUGCCGCACAUACUGCGGAGGUCUCUGCACUGAAGCAGGACCUGGAGCGGUCCAAGGACGAGCUCGACCUUACCAAGAGGCAGCUCGAGGAGAGCAAAGGUAAGCAAUACCUUGUCUAUAUAUUUAAAAAGAAGUUCGGGUAUAAAGUAAUAGGAUCAUCAUGAAUUUGCCAGGGGCCAUGAUCGAAGUGGCGACCCUGAAGAAGACGUUGUCCAAGGCCGAAGAAAAAGCGGCCAGGGGAGCGCAUUGAGCGGGAAAAGCAAGAAGCCCGGGUAGGCGAGGUGCAGCAAGAGCUCGAGGCUCUCGCCAAAAAAUACGAGUCCUUGGAGCUUGACUCUAAGACGCGAGAGUCCAAGCUUGCGAAGGCACUCGAAAGCGCCCGGAGCACCAAGCUGAAGCCCACAAGGCCCUCCAGCAGAUUGAUGCGGUGAAGAAGAUAGCAGCAGGUAAGGCAUUCAUUAUGCAAAGCAAGCAUGUGAAGGAGACUUUCCUUUUAUUUACCCGAGUUCGGAGCUCUCCAGGAGCGUUCGAAGAUCUUCCCCGCAGUGUACUGGAUGCCGCAGAGUUUUACCGAGCUGAGGAGGGGAGCUCGACGGAAAAGUUGUUCUGGUCUCAGUAUACUGGGACCGAAUACCCAAUGCCCUUGAGCGACCAGCUGAAGCAAUUGGUCGAGCUUCACAAGGCGGCUGAACAGGUCAUGAAGGGUCUGAUAGUCCGGAUGUGGCUUGGCGAGCCCCUGUCCGGCAGCUACUUCGAUCUGGUGAGGCGGCUUGUGGAUGCCUGCCCACGGCUUGAAGUCAUAAAGCGGUCCGUCUGCAUCGAGGGUGCGCGCAGGGCUUUUGCCCGGGCAAAGGUGCACUGGGCGAAGCUGGACGUCGUGAAGCUGGUGAAGGAGGGGCCGCCAGAGGGCAAGGAGCAUCGCUGCCCCGAAAUGUAUUAUGAAAGUGUCAUGAAGGGUUCCCGCCUUGUGGCGGAUGAAUGUGCCAGAGACGUAAUUUUUGAAUGAACAUGCUCAUGUGAUCCUGUAAUGUGAAACGAGUUCAUUUGCGCUAUGCAACACUUUUUCUUAAUUUAAAAUAUUACCUUCUGUGCGGCCGUUUAUAAAAUCUAAGAGUUGGCCAGCCGUCGGCUUCUGCCCCCAUGUAACUAGUACUGGGGUGUUCAGGAUAAACCUGAGCACUCUUUAUCCCAAUUUUGGGUCCUUCGAGGGAGGUGUUCAGCACAACGAACCAGGCAAUCGGACUAUAAUGCUUUAUCACUCUCACUUAGCCAUAGAAGUCUACAAUUUUAAAUUUUGGCGAAGCCCCUAGUAUUCGGAAGGCCGAAUUUGGGGCGCUAUACAUGCCUAAGUCGGGCAAGGCCGACUCCUCACCCGAAGCGGAAAAAGUCUUUAAGGACUUGAGACCUCUCGAACAGCGACCAGCUCUCGCCUUAUCAUGACAGUCUGUUUUCGGCUUUCUCUACUGAGGUGCUCGUCCGGAAGAACCGGGAUACAAUCGCAGUAGUUCUCCCAGCGCUACCUUAGCCGAUAUAGCGGAACGUAAGGUACCAAAGCAUGGGAGCCGGGCAAACCCAACUAUUGACCCAAGACAUGAUUCGGAGCUGAUGCAUAUAAUGCUAUAAGUUCGGGGUGCCGCACUGUCGAAAGUGUUCGGACUUCUCACACCGUAUUAUGGGGUAAAUGAAAGCCCCUGGCGUACUGACCGUACCAGAAUGUACGGGUGCAAGUUAUUGUAAAUGAACAUAUAAGAAAAAGGGGAUGAAUAAUGCAAUAAUAAACUAAUGCUAUGCAUUGUUAUUUAAAUAAUACGUCGAAGCGUACUGAUACAAGUAGUGCAAUAAGCAGAAAAUAGGACUAUUUGACAUGUCCUAUCCAAGGGCAAGCUGCGUAUGGAUAGUAAAAAGCGGGUAUGUCGAUUAUUAUUAGAGACCACCUGGGGGUUCCUUUGUACAUCUUAGUUUCUUGCCUCCUAGAUUGUUCCUUCCCGUAAUGUGUCCGGCAAUCGUACUGCCGAAAAGGGCUUCCAGAGAGUUAGGUCCUGAAAGAGAAAAAACGAUAAAGGUAUACAGCCCCUGGGGCGGUUAAGCCGCAUUGCGGGACGUGCCUUGAUCGUGCCCCCGCCUAUGCCCAUGGUAUUUUCAGUGCGUAAUUAUGUACGCACGGCUCCGAUUUCGUCGCUUGACUGGGACUGGGAUGGGGGCCAAAUUGCUAGGCGAGCUCUGAACGUGCCAGGCGAUCCUGUUGCAGUUUACUCCGGACUCGCUUGACAGUGUCCGGGGGCUGUAUCGCUGAAUUGGUGGUUUGCCUUAAAAGGCUGCUUUGUGCUUUUGCUGCGAGGGCCGCAGUGUGCUGUUCCAUGCGGAGCAAGCGUUCUGUGUUUCCAUUGACUGUUAUGACCCCCUAGGUCCUGGCAUUUUGAGCUUGAGUUAUGUGUAAUGCGGCACCGCAUUGAAUUUUGCAAAUGCGGUUCGCCCAAGCAGUGCGUGAUAGCCACUACGGAACGGGACGAUAUCGAAGAUUAACUCCUCGCUUCGGAAGUUGUCCGGAGUUCCAAAGACCACUUCCAGUGUGAUUGAGCCCGUGCAAUGGGCCUCUACACCUGGAAUGACGUCCUUAAAGGUGGUUUUGGUGGAUUUGAUUCUCGAGGGAUCUAUACCCAUUUUGCGCAUUGUAUCCUGAUAGAGCAGGUUCAGGCUGCUGCCGCCGUCCAUAAGGACUCGAGUGAGGUGAAAUCCGUCGAUGAUGGGGUCUAGUACCAGUGCGGAGGAUCCGCCAUGACGGAUAUUAGUAGGGUGGUCCCUGCGAUCAAAGGUGAUCGGACAAGCGGACCAUGGGUUGAACUUUGGGGCGACGGGCUCCAUCGCAUAGACGUCCCUUAGUGCAUGCUUCCGUUCCCUCUUGGGAAUGUGGGUUGCGUAUAUCAUGUUCACCGUCUUCACUUGUGGGGGGAACCUCUUCUGUCCUCCCAUGUUCGACGGCCGGGGCUCCUCCUCGUCAUCACUAUGCAGCCCCUUGUCCUUGUUUUCGGCAUUUAACUUGCCGGCCUGCUUGAACACCCAACAUUCUCUGUUGGUGUGAUUGGCUGGCUUAGCGGGGGUGCCGUGGAUUUGACAUGAGCGAUCAAGUAUGCGAUCCAAACUGGACGGGUCCGGAGUACUUCUUUUGAAUGGCUUUUUCCGCUGACCGGAUCUAGAGCCUCUGAAUUCGGCAUUGACUGCCGUAUCAUCGGUGUUAUCACUGUUGUUGCGGCACUUUUGUCUGUUACGACGUGGUCUGCCGUUGGCAUCUUUGGUAUCCGGAGUGCCCGGAUUCCUUGAUGUGUUGUUGCUGCGAGCCAGCCAGCUAUCCUCGCCCGCGCAAAAGUGGGUCAUGAGUGUCGUGAGGGCUGCCAUAGACUUCGGCUUCUCCUGGCCGAGGUGCCGGGCAAGCCACUCGUCACGGAUGUUAUGCUUGAAUGCCACUAAGGCCUCUACAUCCGGACAAUCGACAAUUUGGUUUUUCUUAGUUAGGAACCGUGUCCAGAAUUGCCUGGUUGAUUCCCCUGGCUGCCGAGUUAUAUGGCUCAAGUCAUCAGCAUCCAGUGGUCGCACAUAAGUCCCGUGGAAGUUGUCAAGGAAUGCGUCUUCCAAAUCCUCCCAGCUGCCGACGGAGUCUGCUGGCAAGCUAUUCAGCCAAUGCCGAGCUGGUCCUUUGAGUUUUAGUGGGAGGUACUUGAUGGCAUUUAGAUCAUCACCGCGAGCCAUGUGGAUGUGAAGGAGAAAAUCCUCAAUCCAUACAACGAAAUCUCUUGUACCAUCAUACGAUUCGAUAUUUACGGGUUUAAAACCCUCCGGGAAUUCGUGAUCCAUAACUUCAUCAGUGAAGCAUAGGGGGUGUGCGGCGCCUCUGUGCCGGGAUAUAUCACGACGCAGUUCAUAUGAGUCUUGUCUGCUGUAUUCGGACCGGCCGGAUUUACUUUUAGUGUAUCCGGCGCGACGGUCAUCGUCCCGCGUUGGCGCGCGCCCCCGUGACCCGUAUAUUGACCUUGCAUGUUUUUCCCUGCUGUCCAAUACGUCUCGUGGGUCCCGUGUGUUGCCCCGGGCCUUGGUGUUUUUGAUUGAGUGGCGGCGGGGUGCAGGCUGAACUUCAGGCUGAAACGCCUCUCCGGCUCGGCAACGCGAUGGCCGGUCAGCCGCAUCAUACACUGGUGAUGGAGGUUUCAAUGCUUCCUCCUCGAGGUGAGGUAGCAACCUGCGCUUUGGGUAACUCUUGGAGGGGCGUUCGAGUUCGUAUUCCUCGGCCGCAAGGACUUCGGUCCAUCUGUCUGCUAGCAAGUCCUGAUCAGCUUGAAGCUGUUGUUGCUUUUUCUUCAGGCUAUUUGCUGUGGCCAUAAGCCGGAGCUUGAAGCGCUUCUGCUCGAUGGGAUCCUCAGGCACGAUAAAUUCUUCGUUGCCGAGGCUCACCUCGUCUUCGGAGAGAGGCAUUUAAUUGUCCUCCUCUGAUUCUCCAUCUGCUGCCUGCUCUGGAGGGCUAGCUUGUUCACCCUCCCGCUCUACAUCGUGCUGGAGGGGAUUGUGGUUGUCUUCGGCACUAUCCGGAGUGUUAUUGUCUCUUGUGCCGGUAUCACUACUUUUGUUGUGGCAGGACUUAGAGCGGUGCCGCUGACGUCGGCGCUUGGGUUGCUUCUUGGAGGGGUCAUCCUCCGUUGUCUCGUCGCCAUUGCCUUCUUUGGGGGUGUCCAUCGUGUAUAUAUAUCAUAUGAUGAGGUGGCGGUCCAGCGCCCUGUGGGCGGUGGUUCCUGUUCGUCUCCUGCAUCGUCGUCCAUACUGUCGAUGUCUUUAGAGUCGAAGUCGAGCAUGUCAGUUAAAUCGUCGACAGUGGCUACUAAGUGGGUGGUGCGUGGGCAGCGAAUUUCUUCGUCGUCCGCAUCCCAUUCUAGCCGGACAUAGUUCGGCCAAGGUUCUCCUAUCAAGGAGAGAGACCUUAAUGAAUUUAGCAAAUCGCCGAAAGGCGAGUGCUGAAAGAUAUCCGCGGAGGUGAACUCCAUGAUCGGCGCCCGGUCGGAUUCGAUAGGCACGGAUGCAGGCGGCCCGGAGUCCGUGGCCGGACACGAAUCCCGCGGUUCGGCGACACGGCUCUUGUAAGGGGUGAAGUCAGUAUCUGACUCCAUCACCACUGAGAGUGCAGCCUCCAUGACGGGGUCUAUCCCUCCGUCCUCGGAUGGCGCAAUUUGCUCCGGAUUGAAGGCUGGAGUAGUUGCAGGUGCGAUUUCCCGAACGCUGUCCGAUGGCAGAGUUACGUCAUGCUCGUCGUGAUUGUGCGGUGCACCUGACAUGGGCUCGAAUCCGUCGAAGAUCAAGUCUCCGCGGAUGUCGGCAGUGUAGUUUAAGUUUCCGAACCUGACCUAAUGGCCAGGGGUGUAGCUCUCGAUCUGGUCCAGAUGGCCAAGCGGAUUGGCCCGCAGUGCGAAGCCACCGAAUACGAAGAUCUGUCCGGGGAGGAAAACCUCACCCUGGACCGCAUCAUUAUCGAUGAUUGAAGGGGCCAUCGAGCCUUAUGGUGACGGCACAGUGGAACUCUCAAUGAAAGCACCAAUGUCUGUGUCAAAACCGGCGGAUCUCGGGUAGGCGGUCCCGAACUGUGCGUCUAAGGCGGAUGGUAACAGGAGGCAGGGGACACGAUGUUUACCCAGGUUCGGGCCCUCUCGAUGGAGGUAAAACCCUAUGUCCUGCUUGAUUGAUCUUGAUGAUAUGAGUAUUACAAGAGUUGAUUUACCACGAGAUCAUAGAGGCUAAACCCUAGAAGCUAGCCUAUGGUAUGAUUGUCUGUUGUCCUACGGACUAAACCCUCUGGUUUAUAUAGACACCGGAGGGGGCUAGGGUUACACAGAGUCGGUUACAAGGGAGGAGAUCUACGUAUCCGUAUUGCCAAGCUUGCCUUCCACGCCAAGGAAAGUCCCAUCCAGACACGGGACGAAGUCUUCAAUCUUAUAUCUUUAUAGUCCAACAGUUCGGCCAAAAGAUAUAGUCCGGCAGUCUGGAGACCCCCUAAUCCAGGACUCCCUUAGUAGGUAUGGUGGACUCAUAUGGAAUAACAUUGGGGUUUAUGGGAUUGGAUGCACAAGCAGUAUUCCCGCUUAGUACAGGUGAAGGCUAGAAAAAGACUAGGAAGCGACCAGCCAGAGAGCGACAACAGUCAUGAACAUGCAUUAAAAUUAAUCAACACCGAAUGCAAGCAUGAGUAGGAUGUAAUGCACCAUGAACAUAAAUAUCGUAGAGGCUAUGUUGAUUUUGUUUCAACUACAUGCAUGAACAUGUGCCAAGUCAAGCCACUCGAAUCGUUCAAAAGAGGGUACCACCCUAUCAUACCACAUCACAACCAUUUUAAUAGCAUGUUGGCACGCAAGGUAAACCAUUAUAAGCUCCCAGCUAAUUAAGCAUGGCAUAAGAAACUAUAAUCUCUAAUUGUCAUUGCAAACAUGUUUAUUCAUAAUAAGCUGAAUCAGGAACGAUGAAUGAUACGUCCAUUUUGCAUCAUGCUUUUAUAUCGAUAUUUAUUGCAUUAUGGGAUGUUAUUACACAUUAUGACACAAUACUUAUGCCCAUUCUCUCUUAUUUUACAAGGUUUACAUAAAGAGGGAGAAUGCCGACAGCUGGGAUUCUAGGCUGGAAAAGGAGCAAAUAUUAGAGACCUAUUAUGCACAGCUCCAAAAGUCCUGAAACUUCACGGAAGUCAUUUUCAGAAUAUAUAAAGAACACUGAGCGCAAGAAGUUCACCAGGGGGGCCACACCCUGCCCACGAGGGUGGGGGGCGCGCCCCCUACCUCGUGGGCCCCCUGGUGGCCCUCCGAUGCCCAUCUUCUGCUAUAUGGAGUCUUUCAAUGAGGAAAAAAUCAUAAGCCAGCUUUUGGGACGAGACUCCGCCGCCACGAGGCGGAACCUUGGCGGAACCAAUCUAGGGCUCCGGUGGAGCUGUUCUGCCGGGGAAACUUCCCUCCGGGAGGGGGAAAUCAUCGCCAUCAUCAUCACCAACGAUCCUCUCGUCGGGAGGGGGUCAAUCUCCAUCAACAUCUUCACCAGCACCAUCUCCUUUCAAACCAUAGUUCAUCUCUUGUAUCCAAUUCUUGUCUCUAAGUCCGGGAUUGGUACCUGUGGGUUGCUAGUAGUGUUAAUUACUCCUUGUAGUUGAUGCUAGUUGGUUUAUUUGGUGGAAGAUCAUAUGUUCAGAUCCUAUAUGCAUAUUAAUACCCCUCUGAUUAUGAACAUGAAUAUGCUUUGUGAGUAGUUACGUUUGUUCCUAAGGACAUGGGAGAAGUAUUGCUAUUAGUAGUCAUGUGAAUUUGGUAUUCGUUCGAUAUUUUGAUGAGAUGUAUGUUGUCUCUCCUCUAGUGGUGUUAUGUGAACGUCGACUACAUGACACUUCACCAUUAUUUGGGCCUAGAGGAAGGCAUUGGGAAUUAAUAAGUGGAUGAUGGGUUGCUAGAGUGACAGAAGCUUAAACCCCAGUUUAUGCGUUGCUUCGUAAGGGGCUGAUUUGGAUCCAUAUGUUUCAUGCUAUGGUUAGGUUUAACUUAAUACUUUUGUUGUAGUUGCGGAUGCUUGCAAUAGAGGUUAAUCAUAAGUGGGAUGCUUGUCCAAGUAAGGACAGUACCCAAGCACCGGUCCACCCACAUACCAAAUUAUCAAAGUACCGGACGCGAAUCAUAUGAACGUGAUGAAACCUAGCUUGACGAUAAUUUCCAUGUGUCCUCGGGAGCGCUUUUCUCUAUAUAAGAAUUUUUCCAGGCUUGUCCUUUGCUACAAAAAGGAUUGGGCCACCUUGCUGCACUUUAUUUACUUGUGUUACUUGUUGCUCGUUACAAAUUAUCUUAUCACAAAACUAUCUGUUACCUAUAAUUUCAGUGCUUGCAGAGAAUACCUUGCUGAAAACUGCUUAUCAUUUCCUUCUGCUCCUCGUUGGGUUUGACACUCUUAUUUAUCGAAAGGACUACGAUAGAUCCCCUAUACUUGAGGGUCAUCAAGACUCUUUUCUGGCGCUAUUGCCGGGGAGUGAAGCGCCUUUGGUAAGGAAAAUUUUAUAUAGUGUGCUGAAAUUUACUGUCACUUGUUACUAUGGAAAGUAAUCCUCUGAGGGGCUUGUUCGGGGUAUCUUCACCCCGACCAGAAGAGCAAAGAGUUGCUCCUCAACCGAUUGAACCUACUGAAAAUGAAAAUGUCUACUUUGAUAUUCCUUCGGGUAUGAUAGAAAAACUGAUAGCUAAGCCUUUUGCAGGAGAUGGAACAUUACAUCCCGAUGAGCACCUAAUAUAUGUGGAUGAAGUUUGUGGAUUAUUUAAGCUUGCAGGUGUGCCCGAUGGUGUUAUCAAGAAGAAGGUCUUCCCUUUAUCUUUGGAGGGAGACGCAUUGACAUGGUAUAGGCUAUGUGAUGAUAUGGGAUCAUGGAACUACAAACGAUUGAAAUUGGAAUUUCAUCAAAAGUUUUAUCCUAUGCAUCUUGUUCAUCGUGAUCACAAUUAUAUAUAUAAUUUUUGGCCUCGCGAAGGAGAAAGCAUCACUCAAGCUUGGGGGAGGCUUAAAUCAAUGUUAUAUUCAUGCCCCAAUCAUGAGCUCUCUAGAGAAAUGAUUAUCCAAAAUUUAUAUGAUCGGCUUUCUGAUAACAACCGCACCAUGCUCGAUACUUCUUGUGUUGGCUCUUUUAUGAUGAAGACUAUUGAAUUCAAAUGGGAUUUAUUGGAAAGAAUUAAACACAACUCUGAAUAUUGGGACCUCGAUGAAGGUAAGAAGUCAGGUAUGAUAUCUAAGUUUGAUUGUGUUAAAUCUUUUAUGGAUACUGGUGUUUUUCGUAAAUUUAGCACUAAAUAUGGACUUGACUCUGAAAUAGUAGCUUCUUUCUGUGAAUCUUUUGCUACUCAUGUUGAUCUCCCUAGGGAGAAGUGCUUUAAAUAUCAUCCUCUCAUAGAAGUAAAAGUAGCUGCACCUAUUAAAGUUGAAGAAAAGACUGUCACUUAUAAUGAUCCUAUUGUUCCUACUGCUUAUGUUGAGAAACCACCUUUUCCUGUUAGGAUAAAGAUCAUGCUAAAGCUUCAACUGUGGUUCGUAAAAGAAAUAUUAGAACUUAUACACAUCCUGAGCAAGUGAAAGUUGAACCUAAUAUUGCUAUUGUACAGGAUCUCUUGGCUGAUAAUAUUGAUGGGCAUGUUAUUUAUUUCUGUGAUGAAACUGCUAGAAUUGCUAAACCUUGUGCUAAAGAUAAACAUAGACCUGUGGUAGGCAUGCCUGUUAUCUCUGUUAAAAUAGGAGAUCAUUGUUAUCAUGGCUUAUGUGAUAUGGGUGCCAGUGCUAGUGCUAUACCUCAUGACUUAUACAAAGAAUUAUGCAUGAUACUACACCUGCUGAGAUAGAAGAUAUUGAUGUCACAAUUAAAUUUGCCAAUAGAGAUACUAUUUCACCAAUUGGAAUUGUUAGAGAUGUUGAAGUCUUGUGUGGGAAAGUUAAAUAUCCUGUUGAUUUUCUUGUUCUUGGUUCCCCACAAGAUAGCUUUUGUCCCAUUAUAUUUGGUAGACCCUUCUUGAACACGGUUAAUGCUAAGAUAGAUUGCAAAAAAGAUGUUGUUACUAUUAGUUUAGGUGAUAUGUCUCAUGAAUUUAAUUUCUCUAAAUUUCGUGGACAACACCGUGAAGAGGAAUUGCCUAGUAAAGAUGAAAUUAUUGGUCUUGCUUCUAUUGCCGUGCCUCCUAGUGAUCCUUUAGAAAAGUAUUUGCUAGACCAUGAAAAUGAUAUGUUUAUGAAUGAAAGAAGGGAAAUAGAUGAAGUAUUCUUUAAACAGGAACCCAUCCUGAAACACAAUUUGCCUAUUGAAAUCAUAGGGGAUCCUCCUCCACCCAAGGGUGAUCCUGUGUUUGAGUUCAAACCGUUACCUGAUACUCUUAAAUAUGCUUAUCUUGAUGAGAAAAAGAUAUAUCCUGUUAUUAUUAGUGCUAACCUUUAAGAGCAUGAAGAAGAGAGAUUAUUGAAAACUUUGAGGAAGCACCGUGCUGCUAUUGGAUAUACUCUCGAUGAUCUUAAGGGCAUUAGUCCCACACUAUGUCAACACAAAAUAAAUUUGGAGAAAGAUGCCAAACCAGUUCGUGAUCACCAACGACGGCUGAAUCCUAAGAUGAAAGAAGUGGUAAGAAAAGAAAUACUAAAGCUCCUUGAGGCAGGUAUAAUUUAUCCCGUUGCUGAUAGUCAGUGGGUAAGUCAUGUCCAUUGUGUCCCUAAAAAGGGAGGUAUUACUGUCGUUCCUAAUGAUAAAGAUGAAUUGAUUCCGCAAAGAAUUAUUACAGGUUAUAGGAUGGUAAUUGAUUUCCGCAAAUUAAAUAAGGCUUAUUGGGCUAUUAUAGAGCUCAAUUAUGAUUUCAAACUUGCCGGUGAGAAAAGGUUAUUUGACAUUAGCUCACUUGAUGAAUGGAGAACCCAAGCCUAUGAGAAUGCCAAAUUGUUUAAAGAAAAUGUUAAAAGAUGGCAUGACAAAAGAAUACAAAAACGUGAGUUUAAUGUAGGUGAUUAUGUAUUGCUAUACAACUCUCAUUUAAGAUUUUUUGCAGGAAAACUUCUCUCUAAAUGGGAAGGUCCUUACGUUAUCAAGGAGGUCUAUCGCUCCGGUGCCAUAAAAAUCAACAACUUCGAAGGCACAAAUCCGAAGGUGGUGAACGGUCAAAGAAUUAAACAUUAUAUCUCAGGUAAUCCUAUAAAUGUUGAAACUAAUGUUAUUGAAACUGUAACCCCGGAGGAAUACAUAAGGGACACUUUCCGGAACGUUUCAGACUCCGAAAAGGAAUAGGUAUGUGGUACGGUAAGUAAACCGACUCCAAAACAGUUCUAAUGGCAAUUUUCUUCCGUUUUGGAAUAUUUAGAAAAAUAGAAAAAUAAGAAGCAGUCCGGGAAGGACACGAGGGCUCCACGAGGGUGGAGGGCGCGCCCUACCCCCUGGGUGCGCCCCCCUACCUCGUGGGCACCUCGUGUGCUCUCCGGCUCCAUUUUCUUACACAUUACGUAUUUUGGUCGGUAGAAAUUCAUUAUAUAAUCUCCCAGAGGUUUUGACUCCCAUAUCACGCAAAUAUCUCUCGUCUUUGUUUCGAGUUGUUGCUGCUGCAGAUUAGAGCAAGAUGUCUUCGCAAGAGUCAGUUGGGGAGAGCCAGGUGUCUCAUCCGGCACCGAGAUCAAUGACAAACAACAAUGUUAACCACUUUGGGCCAGCAACGGAGGAAGAGAUGGAGGCUGAUUUGAAGAGGAUAGAUGCCAUGGAGGAGGAUCAAGAAGUCACUUCCCGCUUCCGAGCUGGAUUCACAAUGGGGGAACUGCAGAGCUCGGCUAUUCCAAACUCGGUUAUCCCUUCCAAUGUUAGAUUUCUUUCUUAUGAGAAUAUGAAAAGGAGUGUCACUGGUUCUCCCGCAGCUAUGCAGCACCCUUGGGUGCAGGGAGCUUUGGCUGUUACAGGAAAACAUCGAAAGGAAAUAAUGGACUUCAAGCAGCAAGUCAAUAAGCUCGAGGAGGAGAAUUGUAUCCCGAGGGGCAUCAUCGCCAAUAAUAUCACAUCACCAUCCCUGAAAAGAGAGAUAUAAUCACAUGGUUACGGGCACUCCCCUUGGCAACUGCCAAGCUUGGGGGAGUGCCCCGGUAUCGUAUCACCAUCAUUUUUAUCUUUACCGUUUUUCUUAGUUUGAUCCUUUUGAUAAUAUCUUGAUCUAGUAGUAUAAAGUUUUAGUAUGAUCUAGUUGUGAGUUUUGCUUUAUGAUCCUUCUAUGUAAUCGAGUCCGUGAGCUAUAUAUAAUAAAGAUUAGUGUUGAGUCAAGGGCUUGAUUAUUUUGCCAUGAUCUUGAGUGAAUAAAAGAAAGAGAAAGAAUAAAAAGAAAUAAAAGAGAUCAUAUGGAUCUUAUGGAGAGUAAUGAGAUCACAUAUAAAGAGUAUGAUGAUUAAAAGUUGUUCAGAGUUGACAAACAUAGUUUUGUUCAUCGUUGCAAUUAAUAGGAAGUAAUAAAGAAAGAGAGGUCUUCACAUAUAAAUAUACUAUCUUGGACAUCUUUUAUGAUUGUGAGCACUCAUUAAAAUAUGACAUGCUAAAGAGUUGACAUUGGACAAGGAAUACAACGUAAUGGGUUAUGUUUUCUUACAUCUGAGAUAAAUUAUAUUGUCAUGGAUCAUCCAAUAUGAUUGAGCUUCCCUUUCCCCCUCAUGCUAGCCAAAUUCCUUGCACCAAGUAGAGAUGCUACUUGUGCUUCUAAACACCCUUAAACCAGUUUUGCCAUAAGAGUCCACUAUACCUACCUAUGGAUUGAGUAAGAUCCUCCAAGUAAGUUGUCAUCGGUGCAAGCAAUAAAAAUUGCUCUCUAAAUAUGUAUGACUUAUUAGUGUGGGAGAAAAUAAGCUUUAUACGAUCAUGUGAUAUGGAAGAAAUAAAAGCGACGGAGUGCAUAAUAAAGGUCCAUAUCACAAGUGGCAAUAUAAAGUGACGUUCUUUCGUAUUAAGAUUUUGUGCAUCCAACCAUAAAAGCGCAUGACAACCUCUGCUUCCCUCUGCGAAGGACCUAUCUUUUACUUUUAUCUCCUACCUCGCAUAAGAGUCAUGGUGAUCUUCACCCUUCCUUUUCAAAUUUUAUCGUUUGGCAAGCACAUCAUGUUGGAAAGAUCCUGGUAUAUAUGGCUAAUUGGAUGUGAGUUUUCAUGAACUAUUAUUGUUGACAUUACCCUUAAGGUAAAAGGUUGGGAGGCAAAACUAUAAGCCCCUAUCUUUCUCUGUGUCUGAUUAAAAUUCCAUACCCAUAAGUAUUGCGUGAGUGUUAGCAAUUGUGAAAGACUAUAUGAUAGUUGAGUAUGUGGACUUGCUGGAAAGCUCUUAUAUUGACUCUUUCCUAUGUUAUGAUAAAUUGCAAUUGCUCCAAUGACUGAGAUUAUAGUUUUUUAGUUUUCAAUGAAGUUUAUGAUUCAUACUUGAAAACGUGAUUUAAUUGUUACUCUAGCAUAAGAGAUCAUAUGACAAGAAUUAUAUAAGUUGCUGUUCUAAGAAUGAUCAUGAUGCCCUCAUGUCCGUAUUUUAUUUUUAUCGACACCUCUAUCUCUAAACAUGUGGACAUAUUUUUCGAUUUCGGCUUUCGCUUGAGGACAAGCAAGGUCUAAGCUUGGGGAAGUUGAUACGUCCACUUUGCAUCAUGCUUUUAUAUCGAUAUUUAUUGCAUUAUGGGCUGUUAUUACACAUUAUGUCACAAUACUUGCAUAUUCUCUCUUAUUUUACAAGGUUUACAUAAAGAGGGAGAAUGCCGGCAGCUGGGAUUCUGGGCUGGAAAAGGAGCAAAUAUUAGAGACCUAUUCUGCACAGCUCCAAAAGUCCUGAAACUUCACGGAAGUCAUUUUCAGAAUAUAUAAAAAAUACUGAGCGCAAGAAGUUCACCAGGGGGGCCACACCCUGCCCACGAGGGUGGGGGCGCGCCCUACCCCCCUAGGCGCGCCCCGUACCUCGUGGGCCCCCUGGUGGCCCUCCGAUGCCCAUCUUCUGCUAUAUGGAGUCUUUCGAUGAGGAAAAAAACAUAAGCUAGCUUUCGGGAUGAGACUCCGCUGCCACGAGGCGGAACCAAUCUAGGGCUCCGACGGAGCUGUUCUGCCGGGGAAACUUCCCUCCGGGAGGGGGAAAUCAUCGCCAUCGUCAUCACCAACGAUCCUGUCAUCGGGAGGGGGACAAUCUCCAUCAACAUCUUCACCAACACCAUCUCCUCUCAAACCCUAGUUCAUCUCUUGUAUCCAAUUCUUGUCUCUAAGUCCGGGUUUGGUACCUAUGGGUUGCUAGUAGUGUUAAUUACUCCUUGUAGUUGAUGCUAGUUGGUUUAUUUGGUGGAAGAUCACAUGUUCAGAUCCUAUAUGCAUAUUAAUACCCCUCUGAUUAUGAACAUGAAUAUGCUUUGUGAGUAGUUACAUUUGUUCCUAAGGACAUGGGAGAAGUGUUGCUAUUAGUAGUCAUGUGAAUUUGGUAUUCGUUCGAUAUUUUGAUGAGAUGUAUGUUGUCUCUCCUCUAGUGGUGUUAUGUGAACAUCGACUACAUGACACUUCACCAUUAUUUGGGCCUAGAGGAAGGCAUUGGGAAUUAAUAAGUAGAUGAUGGGUUGCUAGAGUGACAGAAGCUUAAACCCCAGUUUAUGCGUUGCUUCGUAAGGGGCUGAUUUGGAUCCAUAUAUUUCAUGCUAUGGUUAGGUUUAACUUAAUACUUUUUUUGUAGUUGCGGAUGCUUGCAAUAGAGGUUAAUCAUAAGUGGGAUGCUUGUCCAAGUAAGGACAGUACCCAAGCACCGGUCCACCCACAUACCAAAUUAUCAAAGUACCGAACGCGAAUCAUAUGAACGUGAUGAAACCUAGCUUGACGAUAAUUCCCAUGUGUCCUCGGGAGCGCUUUUCUCUAUAUAAGAAUUUUUCCAGGCUUGUCCUUUGCUACAAAAAGGAUUGGGCCACCUUGCUGCACUUUAUUUACUUUUGUUACUUGUUGCUCGUUACAAAUUAUCUUAUCACAAAACUAUAUGUUACCUAUAAUUUCAGUGCUUGCAGAGAAUACCUUGCUGAAAACCGCUUAUCAUUUCCUUCUGCUCCUCGUUGGGUUCGACACUCUUACUUAUCGAAAGUACUACGAUAGAUGCCCUAUACUUGUGGGUCAUCAUUGAACUAAUCAUAUUUACAAAAACAAGAGAGGUCGAGUUCAUACCAGCUUCUCCCAUCUCAAUUUGUCCAUCAUAUAUCGUCAUAAUUGCCUUUCACUUGCACGAUCGAAUGAUGUGAAUAAUAAUAACAGUGCAUGUGCAUUGGACUAAGCUGGAAUCUGCGAGCAUUCAAUAAACAGGAGAAGACAAGGCAAUAUGGACUCUUUUGUCAGAUCAACAAUAAUGCCUAUAAGAGCCACUUUAACAAUUUAAUUAUGGUCUUCUCCUAUUGACCCCCAAAGAAAAGAAGAGAAAUAAAACUAUUUACACGGGAAAGCUCCCAACAAGCAAAAGAAGAACAGGAAAUCUUUUUGGGUUUUCUUUUUAAUUACUACUACAAGCAUGGAAAUUAAAACUAGCUAAAAGCUACAACUAAUUUUUUGGUUUUUCUUAAGGUGUGUUAAACACACAAGAAGAAAGCAUAAAAAGAGAAAAUAAACUAGCAUGGAUAUUACAAUGAAAAAGUAUGAGCACCGACAUCUAGCAAUGAGUGUGUGAACAUGAAUGUAAUGUCGGUGAGAAAUACGUACUCCCCCAAGCUUAGGAUUUUGGCCUAAGUUGGUCUAUGGCCACGGGUGGCCUGGCGGAUAUCCAUAGUAAUAGUUGGGGUCGUACUGAGAAGAAGCCUCGGAUUGCCACUGAUUGGCAAUCACCUCUGGAUCCCACUGAUAAUCAGACUAUCAUGGGGGAUAAUAUUGGGAUUCCGGCUCUGGCUCUGUAACUGAUGUAGGGUUCCAGUAGGCGUGAAUGGCCUCCAACAAAACAAGGUACUUGCCUGCAGAUAAAUCAAACAAGGAAGGAGCAGGCAAGGUAAUAGUCUUAGGAUGAUUUUUACCAAAUAUUAAUUUGUACUUAAGCUCCUUUUCCCUAUUCUUAAUAAUAAAAUCAUGUGCUACCAAACUCUUAUAAUCUAAGUAAACAGGAGGCAACAACUUUUCUUCUUUCUCAUAAUGCCUAAUAGGUAUGUUAAAAUGUGCAGCAAGGCGCGAGGCGAAGAUGCCUCCAAGGACGGGGCCCUUGGUAUGGUUAAGAUUUAACCGCUUUGCAGUAAUAGCGCCCAUGCUGAAUGUAUCAUCACGGAAUAAGGCAUGGCACAAAAUAAUAAUAUCAGGGGCACUCAGGUUUCCACAUUUUUCGCGCCCAAUCAAGCAUCUACUAGCAAAUAUAGCAAAGUAACGCAGAACAAGGAAGUGUAUGCUAGUAAUUCGUGCGUCGGAAACCUUCUUUCCCCUACAGUAAUGGUAUCAAUGAACCCAUCCACAUCGUCACGAUGUGGUUCCUCUACACUGCCCUCAAAAGGGAUCAGACAAACCCGACAAAAGUCACGAAGUGACAUCUCCUUAUGCUCAUCAUAUAAAUAAAAUUCCAUCGUAGGUGGUGAGCUCCUAGCAUGGAAAUGAAAGUUUCGCACAAAGAUAUUGGUGAGUAAGAGAUACUGUUCGCGUUGGUCUUGGAGGAAGGCGGUGAGGCCUACAUUGUCAGCCAACUCAUAGAAAUCAUCAUAAAUCCCGGCUGCUCUCAAGAAAUUAUCACAAGGCCAUUCACACGACCGGACCUCCGUGGUGCGAGGGAGAUUAUACUUGGGCCUCUUAUCCUCCUCACUUUGCUUAUCCUUCGAGCUUCGGCUCGAUGAGCCCCUAAAAAAUCUCUUCAUCUUUUUCUAAAAAUUUCUGAAAUUUUAGUAACUUCAAAAUAAAAGUGAACCAAACUCAACAAUAUUGAUAGCAACUACUCCUACAAGUGCCUAGAGGAAAUAUCAUGCAUCAAAACUACUUUUGACCACAUAAAUUUGACAUGCAAGCUCAAGAACAGGGUCACCUAAGCAGCAAAAAUAUGCAAUGAAUAAAGCACUAGAACAAAAACUAAUUGGACCAUUAGAGGAGGUACAUACCAAGGAACAAACCCCCAAAGCAGUUUUGUGAGAGAUGCUUUGAGCAAGGAGAUCGAAAAUCGCAGCAAAAUGAGCUAGAACUCGUGCUUGAGCUGGCUGGUGAUUUUUUUGGGAGGAAGAAGAAGUGUAUGGAUGCAGGAAUAAGUGGAGGGGAGCCACCAUGGGCCCACGAGGCAGGGGGCGCGCCUUGGACCCUCAUGGGCAGGUGCCAGCUCCCCCUGCUGUGUUCUCAGUGCCAAAUAUUCUCAAAUAUUUCAGAAAAAAUCAUAUUAAAUUGGCAGGGCAUUUAGAGAACUUUUAUUUUCGGGGUAUUUUUAUAUUGCACGAAUAAUUCAGAAAAUAGACAGAAAUUACUAUUUUUGCUGUAUUUAAACUAAAUAACAGAAAGUAAAAAGAGGGUACAGAGAGUUGUGUUUUCUAAAUUCAUCCAUCUCAUGCUCAUCAAAAAGAAUCCACUAACAAGGUUGAUCAGGUCUUGUUAACAAACUCAUUCCGAAUAACAUGGAACCGGAGAGUUUUCGAAUAACACUAGGUUACCUCAACGGGGAUAUGCACAUCCCCAACAAUAAGAAUAUCAUAUUUCUUCUUGACAGUAGGAAGAGAUAAUUCAAAACCUCCAAUAGUGAUUUUUGAAAAUUUUCCAAUAGAGUUUAUACUGUGGACUUGAGGUUGUUUCCUCAGAAAGUGUACCGUAUGCUCAUUACCAUUAACAUGAAAAGUGACAUUGCCUUUGGUGCAAUCAAUAACAGCCCCUGCAUAUUCAAAAAAGGUCUUCCAAGAAUAAUAGACAUACUAUCGUCCUCGGUAAUAUCAAGAAUAAAAAAGUACGUUAAAAUAGUAACAUUUGCAACCACAACAGGCACAUCCUCACAAAUACCGACAGGUAUAGAAGUUGAUUUAUCAGCCAUUUGCAAAGAUAUUUCAGUAGGUGUCAACUUAUUCAAAUAAAGUCUAUGAUAUAAAGAGAGAGGCAUAACACUAACACCGGCUCCAAGAUCACAUAAAGCAGUUUUAACAUAGUUUCUUUUAAUGGAGCAUGGUAUAGUUGGUACUCCGAGAUCUCCUAGUUUCUUAGGUAUUCCACCUUUAAAAGUAUAAUUAGCAAGCAUGGGGGAAAUUUUAGCUUCCGGUAUCUUUCUUUUAUUAGUAACAAUAUCUUUCAUGUACUUAGUAUAAGGAUUCAUUUUAAGCAUAUCAGUCAAACGCAUACGCAAAAAGAUAGGUCUAAUCAUUUCAGCAAAGCACUCAAAAUCCUCAUCAUCCUUUUUCUUGGAUGGCUUAGGAGGAAAGGGUAUGGGUUUCUGAACCCAAGACCAUCUUUCCUUAGCGUGUUUUCUAGCAACAAAGUCUCUCUUAUCAUAAUGUUGAUUCUUUGAUUGUGGGUUAUCAAGAUCAAUAGCAGGUUCAAUCUCUACAUCAUUGUCAUUACUAGGUCGAGCAUCAACAUGAACAUCAUCAUUAAUAUUUUCAUUAGGUUCAUAUUCAUUACCAGAUUGUGUUUCAGCAUCAGAAAUAGAAAUAUCAUUGGGAUUCUCAGGUGGUUCAGCAAUAGGUUCACUAGAAGCAUGCAAAGUCCUAUCUUUUUUCUUUUUCUUCCUUUUAGAAGGACUAGGUGCAUCUAUAUUAUUUCUCUGAGAAUCUUUCCCAAUUCUCUUAGGGUGUCCUUCAGGAUACAAAGGUUCCUGGGCCAUCUUACCAGUUCUAGUAGCCACUCUAACAGCAUAGUCGUUAUUCUUACUAUUCAAUUCAUUGAGCAAAUCAUCUUGAGCUUUAAGUACUUGUUCUACUUGAGUGGUAACCAUAGAAGCAUAUUUACUAAUGAGUUUAAGUUCACCUUUAACUCUAGACAUAUAAUCACCCAAGUGUUCAAUCAUAUAAGCAUUUUGUUUCAAUUGUCUACCAAAAUAAGCAUUGAAGUCUUCUUGCUUAACCAUAAAGUUAUCAAACUCAUCCAAACAUUGGCUAGCAAACUUAGUAGGAGGGAUUUCAGCUUUAUCAUAUCUAUAGAGAGAAUUUACCUUUACUACCUGUGUCGGGUUAUCAAGACCAUGUGUUUCUUCAAUAGGUGAUAGAUUAAGACCAUAUAUUUCUUCAACAGUCGGUAAAUUAAGACCAUGCAUUUCUUCAAUAGGAGGUAAAUUCUUAACAUCUUCAGCUUUAAUACCCUUUUCUUUCAUGGAUUUCUUUGCCUCUUGCAUAUCUUCAGGACUGAGAAAUAGUACACCCCUUUUCUUCGGAGUUGGUUUAGGAAUAAGCUCAGGAGUUGGCUCAGGAGUUGGCUUGGGAAGUGUCCAAUUAUUUUCAUUUUCAACAUAUUAUUCAAUAGAAUUUUAGCUUCAUCUGUUGUUCUUUCCCUGAAAACAGAACCAGCACAACUGUCCAGGUGGUCUCUGGAAGCAUUGGUUAGUCCAUUAUAAAAGAUAUUAAGUAUUUAAUUUUUCUUAAGAGGAUGAUCAGGCAAAGCAUUAAGUAAUUGGAGAAGCCUCCCAAGCUUGUGGGAGACUCUCUUCUUCAAUUUGCACAAAAUUAUAUAUACCCCUUAAGGGAGCUUGUUUCUUAUGAGCAGGGAAAUAUUUAGCAGAGAAGUAAUAAAUCAUAUCCUGGGGACUACGCACACAACCAGGAUCAAGAGAAUUAAACCAUAUCUUAGCAUCACCCUUUAACGAGAAUAGAUAUAUUUUAAGGAUAUAAAAGUAGCGAGUUCUCUCAUCAUUAGUGAACAGGGUGGCUAUAUCAUUUAAUUUAGUAAGAUGUGCCACAAUAAUUUCAGAUUCAUAGCCAUAAAACGGAUCAGAUUCAACCAAAGUAAUUAUAUGAGAUUCAAUAGAGAAUUCAUAAUCCUUAUCAGUAACAAAGAUAGGUGAAGUAGCAUAAGCAGGAUCAUAUUUCAUUCUAGCAUUCAGAGUUUUUUGUUUAAGCUUAGCUAAUAAUUUCUUAAGAUCACUUCUAUCAUUGCAUGCAAGAAAGUCUCUUUUAGUUUCUUCAUCCAUAACAUAGCCCUCAGGCACAAUAGGUAAUUCAUAUUUAUUGGGAGAGCCUUCAUCAUCACUUUCAUCAAUAUUAUCAGUUUCAAUAAUUUCAUUCUCUAUAGGCCUAGCAAGUUGUUCAUCAAGAAAUUCACCAAGUGGCACAGUAGUAUCAAGCAUAGAAGUAGUUUCAUCAUAAGUAUCAUGCAUAGCAGAAGUGGCAUCAUCAAUAAUAUGCGACACAUCAGAAUUAAUAGCAGAAGCAGGUUUAGGUGUCGCAAGCUUACUCAAAACAUAAGGUGAAUUAAGUGCACAACUAGAUGGCAGUUCCUUACCUCCCCUCGUAGUUGAGGGAUAAAUUUUUGUUUUUGCGUCUUCCAAGUUCUUAAUAGUGACCAGCAGAUAUAAAUCCCAAGUCACUCAAAGAAUAGAGCUAUACUCCCCGGCAACAGCGCCAGAAAAUAGUCUUGAUAACCCACAAGUAUAGGGGAUCGCAACAGUUUUCGAGGGUAGAGUAUUCAACCCAAAUUUAUUGAUUCGACACAAGGGGAGCCAAAGAAUAUUCUCAAGUAUUAGCAGCUGAGUUGUCAAUUCAACCACACCUGGAAACUUAAUAUCUGCAGCAAAGUGUUUAGUAGCAAAGUAAUAUGAUAGUAGUGGUAACCAUAGCAAAAGUAACGGUAGCAAAAGUAAUGUUUUUGGUAUUUUGUAGUGAUGAUAACAAUAGCAACGGAAAAGUAAAUAAGCAAAGAACAAUAUAUGAAAAGCUCGUAGGCAAUGGAUCAGUGAUGGAGAAUUAUGUCGGAUGUGGUUCAUCAUGUAACAGUCAUAACAUAGGGUGACACAGAACUAGCUCCAAUUCAUCAAUGUAAUGUAGGCAUGUAUUCCGAAUAUUGUCAUACAUGCUUAUGGAAAAGAACUUGCAUGGCAUCUUUUGUCCUACCCUCCCGUGGCAGCGGGGUCCUAACGGAAACUAAGGGAUAUUAAGGCCUCCUUUUAAUAGAGUACCGAACCAAAGCAUUAACACAUAGUGAAUACAUGAACUCCUCAAACUACGGUCAUCACCGGGAGUGGUCCCGAUUAUUGUCACUUCGGGGUUGCCGGAUCAUAACACAUAGUAGGUGACUAUAGACUUGCAUGAUAGGAUCAAGAACUUGCAUAUAUUCAUGAAAACAUAAUAGGUUCAGAUCUGAAAUCAUGGCACUCGGGCCCUAGUGACAAGCAUUAAGCAUAGCAAAGUCAUAACAACAUCAAUCUCAGAACAUAGUGGAUACUAGGGAUCAAACCCUAACAAAACUAACUCGAUUACAUGAUAAAUCGCAUCCAACCCAUCACCGUCCAGCAAGCCUACGAUGAAAUUACCCAGCACGGCAAUGUGCAUCAUGAAAUUGGUGAUGGAGGAUGGUUGAUGAUGACGAUGGCGACGGAUUCCCCUCUCCGGAGCCCCGAACGGACUACAGAUCAGCCCUCGCGAGAGAGUUUAGGGCUUGGGGCGGCUCCAUAUCGUAAAACGCGAUGAAUCUUUUUCUCUGAUUUUUUUCUCCCCGAACACGAAUAUAUGGAGUUGGAGUUGAGGUUGAUGGAGCUCCAGGGGGCCCACAAGGCAGGGGGCGCGCCCCCACCCUCGUGGCUAGGGUGUGGGCCCCUUGGCCUUGAUUCUUUGCCAGUAUUUUUUAUUAUUUCCAAAAAUAAUCUCCGUGGAGUUUCAGGUCAUUCCGAGAACUUUUGUUUCUGCACAUAAAUAACACCAUGGCAAUUCUGCUGAAAACAACGUCAGUCCGGGUUAGUUCCAUUUAAAUCAUGCAAAUUAGAGUCCAAAACAAGGGCAACAGUGUUUGGAAAAGUAGAUACGACGGAGACGUAUCAUUGCUCCUGGGAUGUUCGGGAUGGAGAACCAGGAGGGGAACGUCAAGGCGCCUAGUGUGGAGCUAGCUCGGGUCCAUGUGCGCUACUCCGACCACUUCCGGGAAGGAGAAAGAGGAUGAGCUCAUGUCAUGCACUUUGUUGCUAGUGUCGGUGAUGGGAAAAGGAUGAGGUGAUGCAAAUUCGGUUGGUCAAGGGCCACACAAAGGUAUUCUGAAAGAUUUCCUCGUGUAAGAGACGAAACAAGGCUAAGCGGACAUUGACGACGGGAGAAGGCCAAGCCCUUUUGUUACCCAUGUUGAUGCAAUGUCCGCUUUUUAGUGGGCGCUUUCGCCUCGUUUAGAUCCAGUUGGCGACGUCCUUCAUGCUAGGUACGGGGAGCUCCUAUCUGAUGGUUGUGGGUCAAAUAGCCCUUUAAUGCUUACAUUGGUCAGCCCAAUAUGCCCCGUGUAUGGAGAACAUUUCUAAUUCUUGUGAAGACAAAUCAGUUUUCUACCCAGGUUCUGGAACCCAGUUCCGCAUAUAUUUGGUACGGGUAUGUUUGGUUUAAGCCCCAGGUUGCCACACCAAAAUUUUGGUAUAACCAAUGUCAGGGCAUGACCAAAAUUUUGAUAAGCAAUUCUUGUUUGGAUUGUAGCCAUCGAAAAAGCUGCCCACAAAUGCACAUGCAUGCUAAUCGUGCGAGGGCCCACUAAGUAACUAUCGGACAAAGAAUUUGCAGCCUAGUUGCAUGCACCACAGUAAUAAAAAAGAUAAAACUACCUGGGACCCACCAAGACAGAGAGGGCAAAAGGUGCGCCAAUUUUUUGGCGGAGCUUCUCCGCGUCCUCAGCUCGCCAACUCGUUGGCCAAAAUUACACAAGCGAUUGGCGGCUGCCGUUGGCGCGCCGAUUUUUUGGCACCAAUCCAAACGAGACCCAAAGUCUGUGGGCAAGCCAAAAUUUUGGUAUGGUAUGUUCUGGCUGUCAUCCAAACGCACCAUCCAAGCCAUUGCGACACUAGCUAAGACAUUUGUGGUAGAUCAGUGAAAUAUGCCCAGCACUCUACGAAAAUCUGGAUGAAACUUAAUGUAUGCAAACUGUUCCAUAGAAUGUGAAAUUUGGGAUGGAGCAUGGCAGAAUGCUAAAAUAGUUGCAUAGAAGUAUCAGCACCUUUCAUGAUUGAACAUUCAAACUUUGUCAAAAUAUAUGUUGAAAAUGCAAGGAGUAGCCUUUUCGUUCUUGCAUUUUCUUUUGGGAACCCUUCUUGCAUUUCUAUCUCAAUAUAUUGGUAUAGUUGUCUUGUACGAAAUGAGAACCUAGGAAUAUUUAUCGGGCAAGUUAAAAUACAAAUAUAUUCGUAUGUCGCAGUCACCAGCAAUGCAACUUGCGAAGCUGGGAUUGGUGUCCAGAAUGUCAACUUAGUUCCAUCGAAACGUAUCAAACUGUCCAAACAGACAAAAAGGAGAACAUACGGUGGACAACAAGGGGCCAGACAUGGCGUCCCCCACAGCUCUCGCCGUCCUCGUGUUUGCAGUGCUCAUCGUCCCGUUCCCGCCGAUAACUUCCGCAAACCACAAUCAUGGCUUCCGCGCCUCCCUCACUCGCAUGCGCCAACAAUUCAGCAACUACUCCGCCGCGGUACACGGCGACACGCACCGCCUGGCUUUCCUCGCGCGCGCUCCAACGACGAACGCCACGACCACCCUUGCCCUCCAGGCGCUGGUCGAGAACGGUGCCGGAGCGUACCACAUGAGCUUGUCCAUCGGCACGCCGGCGCUCACCUUCCCUGCCAUCCUCGACACCGGCAGCGACCUGGUCUGGACGCAGUGCGCGCCGUGCACCCAGUGCUUCCCGCAGCCGACGCCGCUGUACGACCCGGCGGGCUCCUCCACCUUCUCCAAGCUCCCGUGCGCGAGCCCGCUCUGCCAGUCCAUGCCGAGCCCCUUCCGCGCCUGCAACGCCAGCGGCUGUGCCUACGACUACCGCUACGUCGUCGGCUUCACCACCGGCCGCCUCGCCACGGAGACGCUCACCGUCGGCGACGCCACGUUCCGCGACGUCACGUUCGGGUGCAGCACGGCGAACGGCGGGCACAUGGACAACGCGUCGGGCAUCGUGGGGCUCGGGCGCAGCCCGCUGUCCCUCGUGUCGCAGCUCGGCAUCGGCCGGUUCUCCUACUGCCUCCGCUCGGAUUCGGAGGCCGGCGCCAGCCCGAUACUGUUCGGCUCCCUGGCCAGCGUGACAGGCGACAACGUCCAGUCCACGCCGUUCGUCCGGAACCCCGCGGUGCCGGUGCGACGCGCCCCGUACUACUACGUGAACAUCACCGGCGUCACGGUCGGCGCGACAGGCCUCCCGGUCGCGCCCAGCACGUUCGGCUUCACGCACGCCGGCGCGGGUGGCGUGAUCGUCGACUCCGGCACGACCUUCACGUACUUUGCCGAGGCGGGGUACGCGAUGCUGAGGCAGGCGUUCCUCUCGCAGACGGCUGGCCGGCUGACGAGAGUGAGCGGCGCCCCGUUCGACUUCGACCUGUGCUUCGAGUCAGGCGGCGACCUCGACGUCGACGCCGUGCCCGUGCCAGGUCUGGUGCUCCGUUUUGCGGGCGGCGCGGAGUACACCGUCCCGCGGCGAAGCUACUUCGACGCCGUGGACGAGCAAGGCCGUGUGGCGUGCUUGCUGGUGCUGCCGACGAGGGGCGUGUCCGUCAUAGGCAACGUGAUGCAGAUGGACCUGCACGUACUCUACGAUCUCGACGGCGGGGUGCUAUCCUUCGCCCCGGCUGAUUGCGCUAGUGUUUGAUCACGGCGUCACAUUGUUGAUUAUAAUGUCGGUUCACAAUUUUUAUGAACUAGACGACUAUAUAUCGACGCGGAUCUUUCAAACGUGUGGCGAAUGCACCUGCAAUGGAAAAACAAUUUUUUAAAAAUAAAAAGAGUUGAAAUAAUUCUGAUAUUUUUUUUGUAACAAACAUGGUCUAACAGUGAAACGAAAAUGUUCACUAGCUGGUUAGUAGUUACACACACUGGAUGUUCAUGGUAAACAUAGGACCCGCUGUUUCACUGGCACAUCGUUUGUCUUUCGAUUCUCCUCCGCCUAUGACGACUUUUGACCUAGUUUAGGAGUCGGUUCGAUACAUGUUUGUUAGUACUACAUUAUAUAUAUAUAUAUAUAUAUAUGUAUGUAUGUAUGUAUGUAUGUAUGUAUAUAGUGUUACUAUUCAUCACCCAGGGUGCAUAAUAAGUUAUUCUUCACCCGAGGUAAUUACGUUUGGAAUACAAAUAGUUACAUUAAUAUUGAUUCACUAUAUAAAAUUUGGUAUAAGAAAAUAAAGUAGGUUAUAAGACCAAAAAUACCGCAUUUUUAAUGAUGUUUUUACGUUCGUAACUUUACAUAACAUAAAAUAUUUUUUACGGCGAGUAUAUUUUUUCUUACGUUCUCUUUUUACGUAUGAAAUAUGAUAAAAUUUAUGAAACCUAAAAAUACGAUGCAUUGACGUCAAAAUAUAGAGGGGGUGUAUAUUGUCAUAGGAGCAAUCGGACACGCCACACCUGAACAGGACUUGGGAUCAACACAGGCAUGCGUUCCAUCACCUUAGUAGUAUCACGUAUGCUAGAAAGCUUCUCAUCGAUAUUUUAUUUCCUUUCUGCUCUUUAGAUAUUGGUUUUCUAGUGCAAGUCUUCGCCUACUCUUCUGUUAUCCAUACGGUUUACGUACGAAGUGACUUGGCAUUCAUUAGUAAGACCAUAGGAUACGAGAACGCACUAGCUAACCCACGGUAACAUUCUUCUGAUCUGAUGUAAGGUAGUAAGCCAGAAGAAUUCUGUUGACUGCAAGGCAAUAAAUACCCGGUGCACCAUUGAUGCUAGAAGAAUAAUACACGAGCUCAGCUUGAACUUUCCGAAAGGCUACUCUCCGAAUACGAAAGUUAACCAGAAUCCCCUUACCGACUGGCAAGUGGUGGCCCCUGAUGAGCAUUGCCGCAUGUAAUAAUAUCCAGUUUUAGCAGCUCUCCAAAGGAACAGUCCAUGAAUUGGUCCGUGCAUAAAGACUGACAACGCUACUCAAACAAAUAGGAGUACCUUUCAGAUUACAGACAAGCCAUCUCAGUAGUUUGGCAAAGCAAUACUGAGUACGAUGGCGACAAUGAACGUAGCAGAGAUGAGCAAAACGAACAAUGCUCGUCUAAGACUUUGGAACACGUGUAUGUUGAUAAAUCCUCUCCAUCCGGCUCGACGCCAUAUCGCCUUCCCCAGCCCCAGAUGGAACGGAGCCCAGAUGCCAGGGAAGCAGAGAAGCACUGAAGCUAAGGACAAGGUGUAUACGAGGAUGAUGACCCAACGGUUGACUGAACCCAGGAUGAGGUGAAACCCGAAUGCAAACGCAGCAAUCAUACAUUGAGAUCCCACCGGCACCAAGCCAGUUGCCAGCAAGUUGUACAAGUGACGGUGGACCCGCGGAAUUUCUCUUGCACCACCAUAUAUAAGAAAGCAGGUCGCGGUAAGGGAGCAGAGGAAGGCCAUGGUGUCUGAAAUCACAAAUGCCCGGAACGCGAAACGUCUCGCCAGCGUUGCUGUCCCUGCAUGCCCAUGGUCGUCGGCGACGAACNNNNNNNNNNNNNNNNNNNNNNNNNNNNNNNNNNNNNNNNNNNNNNNNNNNNNNNNNNNNNNNNNNNNNNNNNNNNNNNNNNNNNNNNNNNNNNNNNNNNNNNNNNNNNNNNNNNNNNNNNNNNNNNNNNNNNNNNNNNNNNNNNNNNNNNNNNNNNNNNNNNNNNNNNNNNNNNNNNNNNNNNNNNNNNNNNNNNNNNNNNNNNNNNNNNNNNNNNNNNNNNNNNNNNNNNNNNNNNNNNNNNNNNNNNNNNNNNNNNNNNNNNNNNNNNNNNCCCGAAGGCCAUGGUGGCGAUUAGCACUGACACGAUUGUUCUACUUUCUGUAAUCAUGUCUUGUUUAUGUGAUGCUUCUUCACGAGUGGGUUUGUUGUACACGUUACGAAGAUAAAGGGGGUGGACUCCAUCUAAAGUAAUCGCUGCCCCCAACCAGCCCAGACAACUGCGCACAAUAAUAUGAGGAUCCUGUUCAUAAAACAAGUUUAGGGCUCAUUUAGUUUGCAGGAUCCUUAAAAGGCAGGUACAGCAAAAACAUAUAAAUGAGAUAGAAAUGCAUGCGCAAAUCAGAGGACCGGUAAACACAAGUGUUCUAUUAACUUUGAUGUUUCCUUCACAUGAAUUCAAAAACAUAGGUCAAAUCAAUGCUUAUAAUAACCAGGGUCAAAUCAAAGUCAACCUAGAUACACAUGUAUUGUUAGAGCAUCUACAACCGGACACCUCAAACACCCCUCAAAUAGGGAUGGCAAUGGGUACCCAUUACCCACGUAUCCUGCGGGUAAAAACCCUAUUAGGGUAAGGGUGUGUGACAAAAAGUUACCCAUAGGUAUAUAAAUAGGGAAAUCUAAAACCCAUCAGAUAGAGCGGGUAAGGGUAUGAGAUCGUAUAACGCAUACCCAUGUACCCAUAUAAAAUCUAUGUGAACUGAAAAUGUAUGAAACAUGUGUUGUUGUUUUUAACUAUGUGAUGUUUUGAUGUGUUGUUGUUUAUGAGAAAGUGAUGUUGUUUAUUAAAUGUGUUGUUGUUUAUAACUAUGUGUUGUUAUAAUCUGUUGCUUAUAAAUUAUGAUAUGUGUUGCUGUUAUGACUAUGAGUUGUUCAAAUUAGUGCUUUGAAAACAUGGGUAAUUUUACCCGCGGGUACCCGUUACCCGACAUAGAAAAAAUUGUACCCAUUGACGGGUAUGGGUAAGGAUGGUGGGUAAUCUCAAGGGGGGAGGGGUAAGUGGGGUGGCUCCACUCAUACCCAAACCCUACGGGUGCCACCCUCAAACGACCGACUAGAUCAGUGGCCGGUCAACAAUAAAAGUGUCUCAAACCGGCCUCAAACGCCUGGACUGAUCGGCGCCCCUCAUAUCCAGACUAAAUCUGGGGCGGAUAUAGGGCGCCCGAGCGUAGCCUGGUGCGUCCGCUACAUCGGAACAAACAGCUCGAUCCCAACAAAAAGUGCACCAAACCCCCUUCGACCUACCCUCUCCUCUUCUUUUCCUCCUCUAGAUCACUUGCUCCUCUCCUCUCUUCUUCCUCCUCAGCGCCGGACGUGUCCUAGCUCCGCUGCCACACUUGCGCCAGACUACACCUUGCCCUCUACGUGUUCUACACAUUGUCCGACUAGAUCAUUGGGUAAUUUUUUGGUAGGCAGAACGAUAGAUUCAGAUGGUUCGUCGGACGACCGGUAUGGCCCGACGGAGCUUGAUGAAAUGAUUCAAAAAGAUUCGGGCAAGCAUCAAUGCUCCCUUUGUGAGGAAUAUGGAUUAUCUAAGCAGAGAAGAUUGAUAGUGACGAUCCCUCGUUCAGAAUGGGUGCAAUGAUGACCGAAGUUUAUCGCUUUUGGACGAUGUGGCUAUUUAAGCCGGUCCCGUCACUCCUCGUGCGGCGAGGUGGGACUAAACCCCCAAACCUUCCGGCCCAACACAGAUGUCGUCGACAUUGGAAACCUUAAGUACGAACUAUCCCGCCAGCCCAAUAGGACUAAAAACAUCCAAAAUGAUCAAUGUGCAUGUGCUUGCAUGUAUUUGGUGUUAUAAAAAAAUAGGGUUUGUGCUUGCAAAUGGAAAAAAUUUAAGGCCCGUUCGAUCAUUGUCCGCGGGCGUGUCCAGAAGCGUCAGCGGACGUAUAGGGACCCGGAUUUGCCUACCGUGGCUGUAGAUGCUCCUAUGCAUCAAAUCAAAGUCAAACUCCAUGAAUAUGGUGGUCAUUAGUGGUGGGCUUGGCUGUGGAGGUGCCAGCCACGCAACGGUGAGCGUUAGUAUGUACCCGCCACAAGUUGCUACUAUUCAUGACUUCGACACAAAGGAAUUGAGCGAAGGGAAAAUGGAAAAAAAAAAUCUUUGAUCUCAUUUUCAAAGGAAGAGCAGGUAUUUUAACAUCCACUUGGACCUCUUUUUAAAAUUUCUAUGUACGAGGAAUGAGACUAAGAUCCUUAGUGACAUAAUAAUCUCUAAAUAGGUUUUCGCCUCACUUUAUAGAUAAAGUAACCACCAUAUCCAUGUGGUUUGACAUUGUUUCUUCAAAUUCAAAAUGACACAAUAGAUAAAUUUGACUUUUUGCAGAUCAACAACACACUAGAACUACAAUAAGUAAGAAAAAGAACAGAACUAUUGUUCCAAAAUGACAAUUAAGUUUGUUACGUAAUAUUGUUGUUCGAAUGAUUUGUUGGUCUGCAAAGUUUCAAGUUACAGGCUGUGUUGUCUAGGAAAAAUAGAAAAGAGAAGUUUCUACGAAGUGAAGCACAGAUCUUUUCGCAAAGAAAAAAAGAAGUAAAGUAUAGAUCCCAAUGCAACAUUGGACAACCUAGAUAGAAGAUGCACUUUCGUGGGGGACUGGGGGUUGAGAGAAAUCCAUUCCCUUAUGAACAGGGUUAGUAAGUUGUACUAAGUGGGCAACAAUUAACAUGGAUCGGAGGGAGUAAACAUUAGAGAUAUAACACAAUGUGGAGAUAGUAGUAGAAGACAACUUUACCUGGAAAUAGUACAUCCGGCCAGGUACUAUUGCACGGAUAGCAGGAUCCAUAGCAGUUAGCCCAUCGUUGUUGGUAAUGCUUGUCUCCACACUUGUCGUCUUCAGUAGUAAAAUGACAAUCUUGGGAUAUCCAUGAUGGGCAGCCAGAUGGAGUGGAGUGUUCCCUCCAGAAUCCGUAGCAUUCCACAGCAUCGAGAACAUGUCAUUCCGGCAAAUAUGGCGAACCGCGGUUUCCCGACCAUGCUCCACAGCACAGUGCAGAAUAUUUCUUCCUUUACCAUCAACCAUCUCAUAGCAGUCAGGGAUUCUGUGUAUGAGCUCCUCCAUGAUUCUAGUUUGUCCCACCAUAGCAGCAAUAUGCAGAGGAAAUGACCCGUUGCCAUCAGAAAUGCUAGCCAGCCCGAGGGAAGCAUGGCCAUCAAGGAAGAGCACAACUACAUCAAGCCGUCCAUACAGUACUGCAAAAUGGAGAGGCGUGCUCCCUGACGAAUCAGCCCUGGUUAGCAACGUUGGACCUUCUGGCCCCCAGCUCGAGCUCAGUAUUGCUUCAGCCAUUUCUACAGGGAAAUUUGCUAGUAUGUCAGCGCGUGAGUACAGGUUGAAAUUUACUGAAAGGAUUGUAGCAGUAACUUUGCUUGAAACAUCAAAAUUGAAGCCAAAAAGCUCUUGGAAGAAGUAGAGAAGCGGUAGCUGUAGACCUUUUCAGUCCUACCUCUGCUCCUAGCCGCCGCAGCAUGCAAAGCAGUCCGUCUCUCCGGACCAGAAAACAACGCCGCCGAGGGUGUUCCGUUUUGCGACGGGCGUAGCAGCGCGCGGACCAUCGGGAUCGAGCCGGUCACCGCCGCCAGGUAGAGCGGCGAGACACCCUCGUCGCCGUCAACGGAGGCCAGAUCGGGAGCCUCCGUCAUGAGCAGAUCCACCACACCGGCACGCCCGUGCCGGACGGCUUCGUACAAGGCGGUUGCGCCCGACUGGUUCCUCGCGCGCAGCGCGGACUCCUCCUCCGCCCCGCCGGCUCGCAUCCUCGGCAAGAGCACAGCCGCCACAUCCGCAUGGCCGAACCUCGCCACGCAGUGCAGCGGAGUGUCGAGGCACUUGUUGCGCGCGGUGACCAGCGAGGGCGCCCUCUCGCAGAGGAGCGUCGCCAGCUCGACGUGGCCGCGGCUGGCGGCGACAAGGUGCAGAGCCGUGUUCCCGUUGCUCGCCACGCCUAGGAGAAAGCGGCUUGGUGUCGCGCCAUGGACGUUUACCGCGACGUGGCCCUGGCCGGCUGUUUGCUGGCGGCGGUGGCCGGCACCAUGGUCUUGUCUGCUCAGUAUCUCCUCCAUGCGGACCUUGUCGCCGGCGGUUAGCACUUGCAACAGCUCCGCGUCAAGCGUCAUCUUCUCGUGAGGGCCGAAUUGUACCGCCGCCAUGUUGUGAUCUGCUAUGCUAUUUGGGAUGCUUGCUCUGUUCUCUACUCCUGCAUGAUAUGGCAGUGUUUUGAACUUGGAAGAGUUGCAUGGACAAGAGAGACGACUCGGCUCCCUCUUGGUCCGCUGGAGGUCUUUGUAGUAUACUCCCUUCGUCCAGAAAAAUUUGGUGCUACAUACAUCCCUUUGAGGGACAAAUUUAAAAUAAAUAUUUUCGGACGAAGGGGUAUAAGUGUAGAAUUGCACACAUCAGUCAGUUCACCCAAAAGCGUUCCAAACCACAAUGCGGCCGAAGAGUCCUGAAAAGACCNNNNNNNNNNNNNNNNNNNNNNNNNNNNNNNNNNNNNNNNNNNNNNNNNNNNNNNNNNNNNNNNNNNNNNNNNNNNNNNNNNNNNNNNNNNNNNNNNNNNNNNNNNNNNNNNNNNNNNNNNNNNNNNNNNNNNNNNNNNNNNNNNNNNNNNNNNNNNNNNNNNNNNNNNNNNNNNNNNNNNNNNNNNNNNNNNNNNNNNNNNNNNNNNNNNNNNNNNNNNNNNNNNNNNNNNNNNNNNNNNNNNNNNNNNNNNNNNNNNNNNNNNNNNNNNNNNNNNNGCCGCCGAGGGCGUUGAGCUUGGCGGCGUGGGGCGGCGAAGUUCCGGCGGCGGCCCGAUGCGGUGGCCGUGGUGGUGGGGUGGGGCGUUUCCCCGUCGGGUGGUGCCGCCUGUGGCGAUGACGGGCAGGAGUCUCGGUUCUGCCCGAUCCUGCUCGUUCUUAUCUGGAUCUGGCUGACCGGGUACAUUCAGGCACGAUGACGCCGAGUCUCCAUGGCUGUUGGGCACUAUGCUGGUGCAGGCGACUGCGGUGGUGGCUUGGUGUGGUGGUGGCCUUCGACAGUGCACACCGGGAGGAGUGAAGGAGCGGUGGUCUUGGCGGGGACAUGCAGUAGUGCGGUGAGGCGGACUGGCGCGAUGGCGUAUUUGGAGGGGGCGAUGCGAUCCAUCGACCAGACCAGUGGCGGCACUGUGUUGGCUCGGCUAGGAUGGAGUUCUUAGCGAGCAGAGAGCGUUGGGCCACCUCUAGGCUGUCUGGCGAGCGGUGGUGCUCACCAGGUGGUGCCAGCAUGGGAGUUGUCCGAGGCUAGGUGCUGGGUCGUUGCAAGGCUGCCCCUUGGAGCGAGUGAUAGCCUUCACGGGCGGUUCAGGCUCUUGCCGGAGGUGUUGGGUGGUUGUUGUCCCUCGACCAGGUGGAAGGUGUUUGUUGGACCAUGCUUCUCUCUGCCGUGCGGUUUGUUGGUGGUCCUCAGCUUUGCAGCUACGAUGGCGAGGAGUUGCACUGGCGGCAGUGCGAGGCUACUGAAGGAAAUAUGCCCUGGAGUCAAUAAUAAAGUUGUUAUUUAUAUUUCCUUAUAUCAUGAUAAAUGUUUAUUAUUCAUGCUAGAAUUAUAUUAACCGGAAACUUAGUACAUGUGUGAAUACAUAGACAAACUGAGUGUCACUAGUAUGCCUCUACUUGACUAGCUCGUUAAUCAAAGAUGGUUAAGUUUCCUAACCAUUGACAUGAGUUGUCAUUUGAUUAACGGGAUCACAUCAUUAGAGAAUGAUGUGAUUGACUUGACCCAUCCGUUAGCUUAGCAUGAUGAUAGUUUAGUUUGUUGUUAUUGCUUUGUUCAUAACUUAUACAUGUUCCUAUGACUAUGAGAUUAUGCAACUCGCAAAUACCGGAGGAACACUUAGUGUGCUAUCAAAUGUCACAACGUAACUGGGUGACUAUAAAGAUGCUCUACACGUGUCUCCGAUGGUUUUUGUUGAGUUGGCAUAGAUCGAGAUUAGGAUUUGUCACUCUGUGUAUCGGAGAGGUAUCUCUGGGCCCUCUCGGUAAUGCACAUCACUAUAAGCCUUGCAAGCAAAAUGACUAAUGAGUUAGUUACGGGAUGUUGCAUUACGGAACGAGUAAAGAGACUUGCCGGUAACGAGAUUGAACUAGGUAUUGAGAUACCGACGAUCGAAUCUCGGGCAAAUAACAUACUGAUGACAAAGGAAACAACGCAUGUUGUUAUGCGGUUUGACCGACAAAGAUCUUCGUAGAAUAUGUAGGAACCAAUAUGAGCAUCUAGGUUCCGCUAUUGGUUAUUGACCGGAGAUGAGUCUUGGUCAUGUCUACAUAGUUCUCGAACCCAUAGGGUCCGCAUGCUUAACGUUCGAUGACGAUCAGUAUUAUGAGUUUAUGUAUUUUGAUGUACCGAAGGUAGUUCGGAGUCCCGGAUGUGAUCACAGACAUGACGAGGAGUCUCGAAAUGGUCGAGACAUAAAGAUCGAUAUAUUGGAAGGCUAUGUUUGGACAUCGGAAUGGUUCCAGAUGAGUUCGGGCAUUUACCGAAGUACCCGGGAGUUACCAGAACCCCCCGGUGUCGAUGUCAAAACCGGCGGAUCUCGGGUUGGGGGUCCCGAACUGUGCGUCUAAGGCUGAUGGUAACAGGAGGCGGGGGACACAAUGUUUACCCAGGUUCGGGCCCUCUCGAUGGAGGUAAUACCCUACUUCCUGCUUGAUUGAUCUUGAUGAUAUGAGUAUUACAAGAGUUGAUCUACCACGAGAUCGUAGAGGCUAAACCCUAGAAGCUAGCCUAUGAUUAUGAUUGUUGUUGUCCUACGGACUAAACCCUCCGGUUUAUAUAGACACCGGAGGGGUCUAGGGUUACACAGAGUCGGUUACAAUGGAGGAGAUCUACAUAUCCGAAUUGCCAAGCUUGCCUUCCACGCAAAGGAGAGUCCCACCCGGACACGGGACGAAGUCUUCAAUCUUGUAUCUUCAUAGUCCAACAGUCCGGCCAAAGUAUAUAGUCCGGCUUCCGAGGACCCCCUAAUCCAGGACUCCCUCAGUAGCCCCUGAAUCAGGCUUCAAUGACAAUGAGUCCGGCGCGCAGAUUGUCUUCGGCAUUGCAAGGCGGGUUCCUUCUACGAAUACUCCAUAGAAGAUUUUGAACACAAGGAUCGUGUUCGGAUCUGCAAAACAAAUUCCACAUACCACCAUAGAGAGUAUAUUAUUCCACAAAUCUAAUCUGCUGACAACUUUUCAUAACGUGACGUCCUGCCGUGGCCCGGUCAUUACAAACCGUUUUCCCUGCUUGCCACUGCAUGUGUUGCGAGGCGGUUUUAUUGGCACGUCUUGUCGAAGCAGAGAUCGUGUUCCCCUUAUCACGAUAUUCUCAUCAAUAUGGAUAUGGGUAACCCAACCAUGCCAUCAAUCGUGGUGCUUGGGGAAUAAGCGAUUUAUGGGGCAAGUAGGGAGGCGCACAGUUUCUACCGCCUUUAUAAAGGGACAAGAAUUCCUCUUUUUCACCCACGCCUUCUUCUUCCCCUGCCCAUCCAUUCUCGCGCACUCGAGCUCCAGCGCCCAGGUUCUCGUCUUCUCCGCAAAGCCAUUCCAAACAUGUCCGGAGCGGGAGGCAAGUGGAUGGUCUCCUCCGUUACGGAGGAGAACAUUACGAAGCUCCGGGAAGCCGGAUACCUGGCCGCAGACAUCGCGCACCGGCUCCCAGACGCGGGGCAGAUCGUCCCUACUCCAGAACCCCAUGAGAGGGUUGUAUUCCUCACCCACUUCGUCCGCGAACUGGGAUUUUCCCUCCACCCAUUUGUCCGUGGGCUCAUGUUCUACUACAGGCUGGACUUCCAUGAUCUGGCCCCCAAUUUCAUCCUCAACAUCUCGACGUUUAUCAUCGUGUGCGAGGCCUUCCUCCGCAUCAAGCCCCACUUCGGCCUGUGGCUGAAGACCUUCAACGUGAAACCGAAGGUGGUGGUAGGCCAGCGAGCGGAGUGCGGAGGCGCCAUGGUGGGCAAAAUGCCCAACGUCACCUGGCUCGAAGGCUCCUAUGUGGAGACCAUGAAGGGGUGGCAAUUGGGGUGGUUCUACAUCACCGAGCCGCGCAACACCAACUGGGUGGCGGCCCCCGAAUUUCGAUCCGACAUCCCCACGUGGCUCACCUCCUGGAAAGAGAAUGGCCUAUCCUGGGGUUCAUCGGUGGAGCUGACCGGACUCCAGAACUGUGUUAAAAAUAUGAUAAGCAAGAAAAUCAAGCUUGUCAACAUGGUCCGGGUCAUGCUCUUCCACCGGAUCCUUCCGUGUCAAAGACGGGCAUUCAAUAUGUGGGAGUUCGACCCGGCCAAGCACCAGACGCUACGAGAGCUGUUCGACACAAUGCACAAAGACAUCUGGAAGGUGCUGUUCAAGGCCGCCGAGGUACCUCCUCCCCUUAUCGAGGAUUGUGGACUCAGCGCAAAGUGCCCUGCCAAUCCGGUAAGCUCUUUAUAUCUCAUAAUAUGUUCCUUUCCCCAGUAUAAUCAUGUGAGGGAUCUGAGCCUCCACGCCAUUUUAACAGGACUGGAUAGCGACAACGGAGCGGAUCGAUUGUCCGACCCCAUUGCCCGAAGAUCCAACAAGGGCUCUCUUAACGGAGAUGAUGGUUCCGGCACCCUAUGACGCGUCAGAGAAGAAGGCCAAGAAGAAGGCCACGGGGACCAGGAAAGGUCUCCGGCGCAAGGUUGUAUCGGACUCAUUGUCCAAAAACACCGAGGCGCACUCCUCCCAUGAAAACGAGGAGGAGGAAGAGGAAAGUCCCCCCGCCCCAACUGGGGGGACAAGAAAAGGAAGGCCGCCCCAUCUAGGGAGGGCGAAGGGUCCAAGAAGGGAAGGACCCUCCUUUCGGACCACUCCACAACAGCCGCUUACAGCGACAAGGAGUGGUUGCCCAUGGACAAGCCCCUGGCGAAGUUGUAAGUAUCCGUAUACUAUAAUAAUUCUGGUAUGUUUCGUUUUAUUGCUUCUUAUCAUGUCAAACAUGAUCAUGCAGUCCAUCCAAAGCCCAUAUCGACGUAUCCUCUUCGGAUGAGUCUUUGGGACAGUCGGCGAUGAAUAGCGAUUCACUCCCGACAGCCACCUCCCCCCGGCCCACGGACGACAUCGAGGUGUUGUCUCAAAGGGCACCGAACCAAGGGGAGAUAAUUCUGGAGGCGCCCCAAGGCAACAUCCCAGAUGCCGGGCGCAUGGGGGGUAAGACUCCCAUGGGUUCUAAUGACGGGGGACGCAGCAAGUUUGGCCCCCAGCCGGAUACUGCGCCGGAACCUCCAGUGGUCCCGGAUUCUGUCAGGCGACCCCUCGCUAAGGGGGGUGAGCCAUCUGUGUCGAUGGCCUUUGUCCAUCCAGAGGCAUCAGACAACUUGCUGGAAGCGCUUCCUGGCGCUUCCAUUGACAAAGAGCACCGCACCAUCAUGAGUGCGGUGGUCGAGAAGGUUCGGUCCACCAAAAGCAGAUUGACCAAAGCCUGUGCCAGCCUCCUAACAGGCUUUGAGGUAAGUAAUCAAAUUAUGAGAAAAUAUCACAUCAUAGACAGUAGCCCCUGAUGCUCUGUUUGGUGUUCACAAAGAAAGGCCGAACAGAGGAUCAAAUAACAAUCACAGGAGUCUAAUCAGAAUAUGUCUAUGUGAAUAAGCAGGCUUCGCUGCGGGCCGCUGCCGCUCGUACUGCGGAGGUCUUUGGACUGAAGCGGGACCUUGAGCGGUCCAAGGAAGAGCUCAGCCUUACCAAGAGGCAGCUCGAAGAGAACAAAGAUAAGUGAUACCCCGUCUGUAUAUUGAUAAAGAAAAAAGUGGUUAUUAGAUCAUAGGAUCAUCAUGAAUUUUGCUAGGGGCCACGACCGAAGUGGCGGCCGUGAAGAAGAGCUGUCCGAGGCCGAAGACAAAGCGGCCAAGGAGCGCAUCGAGCGCGAGAAGUAAGAGGCCUGAGUCGGCGAGGUUCAGCAAGAGCUCCAGGAUUUUGUCAAGAAAUACGAGUCCUUGGAGCGUGACUCUAAGACGCAGGGGUCCGAGCUUGCGAAGGCCCUCGAGAACGCACAAAAUGCCAAGGCCGAACCCCAAAAGGCCCUCCAGGAGAUUCAGGCGGUCAAGAAGAUGGCGGCGGGUAAGGCAUCCAUUAUGCAAAGCAAGCAUGUGAAGGAGACUUUCCUUUUACUUACCCGAAUUCGGAGCUCUCCAGGAGCGUUCGCAGAUCUACCAAGCAGCGUAUCGGAUGCCGCGGAGUUCUACCAGGUCGAGCAAGGGAGUUCGACGGAAAAGUUGUUCUAGUCUCAAUAUACUGGGACCGAAUAUCCGAUGCUCUUGAGCGACCAGCUGAAGCAACUGGUCGAGCUUCACAAGGCGGCGAACUGGCCAUGAAGGGUCUCAUAGUCCGGAUGUGGCCUAGCGAGCCCCUGCCUGGCAGCUACUUCGGCCUGGUAAAGCGGCUUGUGAAUGCCUGCCCACGGUUUGAAGUCAUAAAGCGGUCCGUCUGCAUUGAAGGUGCGCGUAGGGCCUUUGCCCGUGCGAAAGUGCACUGGGCGAAGAUGGACGUCGAAAAGCUGGUGAAGGAGGGGCCACCAGAGGGCAAGCAGCAUCGCCACCCCAAAAAGUAUCAUGACAGUGUCCUGAAGGGUGUCCGCCUUGUGGCGGAGGAAUGUGGUAAGGAUGUAAUAUUUGAAUGAAUGUACUCAUUUGAUCCUGUAAUAUGAAAACGAGUUCAUGUGUGCUAUAUAACGCUUGUCGAUUUAAAAUAUUACCUUCUGUGCGUCCGUUUAUAAAAUCUGAGAGUUGGUCAGUCGUCGGUUUCUGCCCCCAUGUAACUAGUACUGAGGUGUUCAGGAUAAAUCUUAAACACUCUUUAUCCAAAAAAAUUGGUCCUUUAAGGAGGUGUUUAGCGCAGCGAACAAGGCAAUUGGACUAUACAGCUUUACCCCUCUCACUUAGCCAUAGAAGUCUACAAUUUUAAAUUUUGGCGAAGCCCAUAGUAUUCGGAAGGCCGAACUUGGGGCGCUAUAUACGCCUAAAUCAGACAAGGCCGAUUACUCACCCAAAGGGGAAAAAAUCUUUAAGAAUUUGAGACCUCUCGAACAACGACCAGCUCUCGCCGCAUCAUGACAGUCAGUUUUCGGCUUUCUCUACUGAGGUGCUCGUCCGGAAGAACCGGGACACAAUCGCAGUAGUUCUCCCAAUGCUACCUUAGCCGAUAUAGCGGAACGUAAGGUACCAAAACAUGGGAGCUGGGCAAACCCAACUAUUGACCCAAGACAUGAUUCGGAGCUGAUGCAUAUAAUGCUAUAAGUUCGGGCGCCGCACUGUCGAAAGUGUUCGGACUUUUCUUGCCGUGUUAUGGGGUAUACUGAAGCCCCUGGCGCACUGGACGUACCAGAAUGUACGGGUGCAAUUUGUCGUAAAUAAGCAGACAGGGAAAAAAGAUGAAGAAAUGCAAUAAUAAGCUAAUGUUGUACAUUGUUAUUUAAAUGAUACAUCAAAGCAUAUGUAUAAGUAGUGCAAUAAGAAAAAAUAGGACUAUUUGACAUGUCCUAUCCAAGGGCAGGCUGCGUGUGGGUAUGUAAAACAGGUAUAGCGAUCGUUAUCAGAGACCACCUGGGGAUUCCCUUGUACGUCAAAGCUUCUUGCUUCCUUGGUGUUUCCUUCCCGUGAUGGGUCCGAUAAUCAGGGUAUCGGAGAGGUCCUUCAGAGAAUAGGGUCCUGAAAGGAAGAAAAUGGUAAAGAUAUACGGGUCCUGAGGCGGUUGAGCCGCAUUGUGGGCUGUGCCAUAGUCGUGCCUCCACCUAUGCCCAUGGUAUUUUGAGUGCGUAAUUAUGUAUGCGCGGCGCAAAUUUCGCCGCUUGAAUGGGACUAGGACAGAGGCCGAAUUGCUAUGCGAGCUCUGAACAUGCCGGGCAAUCCUGUUGAGGGUACUCCGGACUCGCUUGAAGGUGUCCGGGGGCUUUAUCGCCGAAUUAGCGGUUUGCUCUGUACUUCUGCCGCGAGGGUCGCAGUGUGCUCCUCCGUACGGAGCGAGCGUUCUGUGUUUCCAUUAACUGUUAUAACCCCGCGAGGUCCUGACAUUUUGAGAUUGAGGUAUGCAUAAUGCGGUACCGCAUUGAAUCUGGCGAAUGCGGUUCGUCCGAGCAGUGCGUGAUAGCCACUGCGGAAGGGGAUGCUAUCGAAGAUCAACUCCUCGCUUCGGAAGUUGUCCGGAGAUCCGAAGACCACUUCCAGUGUGAUUGAGCCCGUGUAACAGGUCUCUACACCUGGUAUGACACCUUUAAAGGUGGUCUUUGUGGGUUUGAUCCUCGAGGGGUCGAUACCCAUUUUGCGCAUUGUAUCCUGAUAGAGCAGGUUCAGGUUGCUGCCACCGUCCAUAAGGACUCGAGUGAGGUGAAAUCCGUCAAUGAUGGGGUCAAGGACCAAUGCGGCAGAACCGCCAUGGCAGAUACUGGUAGGGUGGUCCCUGCAAUCGAAAGUGAUCGGAUAAGAAGACCAUGGGUUGAACUUUGGGGCGACUGGCUCCAUCGCAUAGACGUCCCUUAGUGCACGCUUCCGUUCCCGCUUGGGAAUAUGGGUUGCGUAUUUCAUGUUCACCGUUUUCACUUGGGGAGGAAAUUUCUUCUGUCCUCCUGUGUUUGGCGGCCGGGGCUCCUCCUUGUCGUCGCUAUGCAGCCCCUUUUCCUUAUUUUCGGCAUUCAACUUGCCGGCCUGUUUGAACACCCAGCAUUCUCUGUUGGUGUGGUUGGCUGGUUUAUCGGGGGUGCCGUGAAUUUGACAUGAGCGAUCGAGUAUGCAGUCCAAACUGGACGGGCCCAGAUUGCUUCUUUUGAAUGGAUUUUUCCGCUGACCGGACUUAGAGCCACUGAAUCCGGCAUUGACUAUCGUGUCUUCGGCGUUGUCGCCGUUGUUGCGGCGCUUGUGUCUGUUGUGACGUGGCUUGCCGUUGCUAUCUUUGGCAUCUAAAUUGCCAGGAUUUCUUGAUGUGUUGUUGUUGCGAGCCAGCCAGCUGUCCUCGCCCGCACAAAAGCGGGUCAUGAGUGUCGUGAGGGCUGCCAUGGACUUCGGCUUCUCUUGGCCGAGGUGUCGGGCGAGCCACUCGUCGCGGAUGUUAUGCUUAAAUGCUGCUAAGGCCUCGGCAUCCGGACAGUCGAAAAUUUGGUUCUUUUUAGUUAGGAACCGACUCCAGAAUUUCCUGGCUGACUCCCCGGGAUGUUGGGUUAUGUGACUCAAGUCAUCAGCAUCCGGUGGUCGCACAUAAGUGCCCUGAAAGUUGUCAAGGAAUGCGUCUUCCAAGUUCUCCCAACCGCCAAUGGAGUUUGUCGGCAGGCUAUUCAGCCAAUGCCGAGCCGGCCCUUUCAAUUUUAGUGGGAGGUACUUGAUGGCAUGUAGAUCGUCACUGCGGGCCAUGUGGAUGUGGAAGAGGAAAUCUUCAAUCCAUACCGCGGGGUCUGUUGUACCAUCAUAUGAUUCAAUGUUCACGGGUUUAAACCCUUCUGGGAAUUCAUGAUCCAUUACUUCAUCGGUGAAGCAUAGGAGGUGUGUGGUGCCUCUGUGCCAGGCUAUAUCACGACGCAGUUCAUACGAGUCUUGUUUGCUGUAUUCGGCCCGGCCAGAUUUGCUUUUAGUAUAUCCGUCAUGAUGGUCGUCGUCACGCGUUGGGGCGCGCCCCUGUGAUCCGUAGAUCGAUCUUGUAUGUCCUGCUUUGUUUUCCAAUACGUCUCGCGGGUCCUGCGUGUAGCCCCAGGCCUUGGUGUUUCUGUUUGACUGGUGACGGGGCGCGGGCUGGACUUCGGGCUGAUAUGCCGCUUUAUCUCGCCCACGAGGUGGCCGGUCAGCCACAUCAUACGCUGAUAGUGUAGGCUUUAAUGCUUCCUUCUCGAGUUUGGGUAGAAACCUGCGCUUUGGGUAACUUUUGGUUGGGCGCUCGAGUUCGUAUUCCUCGGCUGCCAGAACCUCGGUCCAUUUAUCCGCUAGCAAAUCUUGAUCAGCUUGAAGCUGCUGCUGCUUUUUCUUCAGGCUUUUUGCUGUGGCUAUAAGCCAGCGCUUGAAGCGCUCCUGCUCGACGGGAUCCUCAGGCACGAUGAAUUCUUCGUCGCCGAGGCUCACCUCGUCUUCGGAGAGGGGCAUGUAAUUGUCAUCCUCGGAUUCUCCGUAUGUCGCCUGUUCCUUAGGGCUAGCUUGCCCAUCCUCCCGCUCGAAGCCUGGCUGGAGGGAAUUGUCUUUGUCUUCAGCACUAUCUGCAGCGCUAUUGUCUCUUGUGCCGGUAUCGCUGCUUUUGCUAUGGCGGGGCUUAGAGCGGCGCCGAUGACGCCGGUGCUUAGAUUGCUUCUCGAGGGGAUUAUCCUCCGUUGUCUUAUUGCCAUCGCUUUCUUUGGGGGUGUCCACCAUAUAUAUAUAUCAUAUGAUGAGGUGGCUGUCCAGCGCCCUGUGGGCGGUGGUUCCUGUUCUUCUCCUGCAUCGUCGUCCAUACCGUCGAUGUCUUUGGAGCCGAAAUCAAGCAUGUCGGUUAAGUCAUCGACAUUGGCUAUUAAGUGGGUGGUGGGUGGGGAAUGAAUUUCUUUGUCGUCCGCUUCCCACUCAAGCCGGACAUAGUUCGGCCAAGGGUGUCCUGCCAAGGAGAGAGACCUCAAUGAAUCUAGCACAUCGCCCAAGGGCGAGUGCUGAAAAAUAUCCGCGGAGGUAAACUCCAUGAUCAGUGGCCAAUCAGAUUGGAUAGGCACGGACACAGGCGGUUUGGAGCCUAUGGCCGGGGACAAAUCCAAGGGUCCGGUAACACAUGUCUCAUAGGAGGUGAAGUCAGUAUUCGGCUCUAUCGCCGCUGAGUGUGCGACCUCCGUGGCGGGGUCCAUCCACCCGUCCUCAGACGGCACGAUCUGCUCCGGAUUGAGGGACGGAGUAGCCACAGGUGUGAUCUCCUGAACAUCGUCCGACAGCAUAGCUAAGUCAUGCUCGUCGUGACUGUGCGGUGCACCUGACAUGGGCUCGAAUCCGUCGAAGAUCAAGUCUCCGCGGAUGUCGGCAGUAUAGUUCAAGCUUCCAAACCAGACCUGAUGGCCAGGGGCGUAGCUCUCGAUCUGCUCUAGAUGGCCAAGUGAGUUGGCCCGUAGUACGAAGCCGCCGAAUACGAAGAUCUGUCCGGGGAGAAAAACCUCACCCUGGAUCGCAUCGUUGCUGAUGAUUAAAUGAGCCAUCAAGCCUUUACGUGACGACACAGUGGAACUCUCAAUGAAAGCACCAAUGUCGGUGUCAAAACCGGCGGAUCUCGGGUAGGGGGUCCCGAACUGUGCGUCUAAGGCUGAUGGUAACAGGAGGCAGGGGACAGAAUGUUUACGCAGGUUCGGGCCCUCUCGAUGGAGGUAAUACCCUACUUCCUUCUUGAUUGAUCUUGAUGAUGUGAGUAUUACAAGAGUUGAUCUACCACGAGAUCGUAGAGGCUAAACCCUAGAAGCUAGCCUAUGAUUAUGAUUGUUGUUGUCCUACGGACUAAACCCUCCGGUUUAUAUAGACACCGGAGGGGUCUAGGGUUACACAGAGUCGGUUAUAAGGGAGGAGAUCUACAUAUCCGAAUUGCCAAGCUUGCCUUCCACGCAGAGGAGAGUCCCACCUGGACAUGGGAUGAAGUCUUCAAUCUUGUAUCUUCAUAGUCCAAUAGUCCGGUCAAAGUAUAUAGUCCGGCUGUCCGAGGACCCCCUAAUCCAGGACUCCCUCACUCGGGGAGUCAAUGGGCCUUAUUGGGCCUUAGUGGGAGAGAGGAGGAGGCAGCCAAGGUGGAGGGCGCCCCCCCAAGCCCAAUCCGAAUUGGGUGCCCCCCUUUCCUUCCCUCUCUCUCACCCUUCCUUCCUCUCCUACUCCAACUAGGGAAGGGGAAACCUACUCUCACCGGGAGUAGGACUCCCCCCUUGGGCGCACCAUGAGAGGGCCGGCCCUCCCCUCCUCCACUCCUUUAUAUACGGGGGAGGGGGCAUCCCAUAGACACACAAGUUGAUUGUUUAGCUGUGUGCGGUGCCCCUCCACAGAUUUCCACCUUGGUCAUAUCAUUAUAGAGCUUAGGCGAAGCCCUGCGUCGGUAAGUUCAUAAUCACCGUCAUCACUCCGUCGUGCUGAGGAAACUCUCCCUCGACCUUAGCUGGAUCUAGAGUUCUUGGGACGUCACCGAGCUGAACGUGUGCAGAUCGCGGAGGUGCCGUAGCUUCGGUGCUAGGAUCGGUCGGAUUGUGAAGACGUACGACUACAUCAACCGUGUUGGCAUAACGCUUCUGCUUACGAUCUACGAGGGUACAUGGACAACACUCUCCCCUCUCGUUGUUAUGCAUCACCUAGAUGGAUCUUGCGUGUGCGUAGGAUGUUUUUUUAAAUUACUGCGUUCCCCAAUAGUGGUAUCCGAGCCAGGUCUAUGCGUAGAUGUUAUAUGCACGAGUAGAACACAAAGGAGUUGUGGGCGUGAGUAUAUACAUAUUGCUUUCCGUCACUAGUUGAUUCUUGAUUCAGCGGUAUUGUUGGAUGAAGCGGCUCAGACCGACAUUACGCGUACGCUUACGCGAGACUGGUUCUACCGAUGUGCUUCGCACAUAGGUGGCUAGUGGGUGUAUGUUUCUCCAACUUUAGUUGAAUCUGUUUCAACGAACAUGGUUCUUUCUGAAGAUCAAAAAGCAAUGACUAUACUACGUUGUGGUUUUUGAUGCGUAGGAAAGAACGGUUCUUGCUAGAAGCCCGUAGCAGCCACGUAAAACUUGCAACAACAAAGUAGAGGACAUCUAACUUGUUUUUGCAGGGCAUGUUGUGAUGUGAUAUGGUCAAGAUGUGAUUAUAUAAAUUGUUGUAUGAGGUGGUCAUGUUUUGUAACACAGUUAUCGGCAACUGGCAGGAGCCAUAUGGUUGUCGCUUUAUUGUACGAAAUGCAAUCGCCAUGUAAUUGCUUUACUUUAUCACUAAGGGGUAGCGAUAGUCGUAGAAGCAAUAGCUGGCGAGACGACAAUGAUGCUUCGAUGGAGAUCAAGGUGUCAAGCCGGUGACGAUGGUGAUCAUGACGGUGCUUUGGAGAUGGAGAUCAAAGGCACAAGAUGAUGAUGGCCAUAUCAUAUCACUUAUAUUUGAUUGCAUGUGAUUUUAUCCUUCAUGCAUCUUAUUUUGCUUAGUUCCGCGGUAACAUUAUAAGAUGUUCUCUCACUAAAUUUCAAGGUACACGUGUUCUCCCUGAGUAUGCACUGUUGCUACAGUUCAUCGUGGUGAGACACCACAUGAUGAUCGGGUGUGAUAAGCUCUAUGUUCACAUACAACGGGUGCAAGCCAGUUUUGCACAAGCAGAAUACUUGGGUUGAACUUGACGAGCCUAGCAUAUGCAGAUAUGGCCUCGGAACACUGAUACGAAAAGGUCGAGCGUGAGUCAUAUAGUAGAUAUGAUCAACAUAGUGAUGUUCACCAUUGAAAACUACUCCAUUUCACGUUAUGAUUGGACAUGGUUUAGUUGAUAUGGAUCACGUGAUCACUUAGAUGAUUAGAGGGAUGUCUAUCUAAGUGGGAGUUCUUAAGUAAUAUGAUUAAUUGAACUUUAAUUUAUCAUGAACUUCGUACCUGAUAGUAUUUUGCAUGUCUAUGUUAUUGUAGAUAGAUGGCUCGUGUUGUUGUUCCAUUGAAUUUUAAUGCGUUCAUAGAGAAAGCUAAGUUGAAAGAUGAUGGUAGCAACUACACGGAUUGGGUCCUUAACUUGAGGAUUAUCAUCAUUACUGCACAGAAGAAUUACGUCCCGGAAGCACCGCUGGGAGACAAGCCUGCUGCAGAUGCUACUGACAACGUUAAGAACAUCUGGCAGAGCAAAGUUGAUGACUACUCGAUAGUUCAGUGUGUCAAGCUUUAUGGCUUAGAACCGGGACUUUGACGAUGUUUUGAACGUCACGGAGCAUAUGAGAUGUUCCAGGAGUUGAAGUUAAUAUUUCAAGCAAAUGCCUGGAUUGAGAGAUAUGAAGUCUCCAAUAAGUUGCAUAGCUGCAAAAUAGAGGAGAAUAGUCCUGCCAGUGAACAUAUACUCAGAAUGUAUGGGUACCACAACCACUUGACUCAGCUGGGAGUUAAUCUUCCUGAUGAUAGUGUCAUUGAUAGAGUUCCUCAAUCACUGCCACCAAGCUACAAGAGCUUCGUGAUGAACUAUAAUAUGCAAGGGAUGGAUAAGACAAUUCCCGAGCUCUUCGCAAUGCUAAAGGCUGCAGAGGUAGAAAUCAAGAAGGAGCAUCAAGUGUUGAUGGUCAAAAAUACCACCAGUUUCCAAAAGAAGGGCAGAAGGGAAGAAGGGGAACUUCAAGAAAAACAGCAAGCAAGUUCCUGCUCAAGUGAAGAAGCCCAAGUCUGGACCUAAGCGUGAGACUGAGUGCUUCUACUGCAAAGGGACUGGUCACUGGAAGAGGAACCGCCCCAAGUAUUUGGCGGAUAAGAAGGAUGGCAAAGUGAAAGGUAUAUUUGAUAUACAUGUUAUUGAUGUGUACCUUACUAAUGCUCACAGUAGCACCUGGGUAUUUGAUACUGGUUCUGUUGCUAAUAUUUGCAACUCGAAACAGGGGCUACGGAUUAAGCGAAGAUUGGCUAAGGACGAGGUGACGAUGUGAGUGGGAAAUGGUUCCAAAGUUGAUGUGAUCGCCGUCGGCAUGCUACCUCUACAUCUACCUUCAGGAUUAGUAUUAGACCUAAAUAAUUGUUAUUUGGUGCCAGCGUUAAGCAUGAACAUUAUCUGGAUCUUGUUUGAUGCGAGACGGUUAUUCACUUAAAUCAAAGAAUAAUGGUUGUUCUAUUUAUAUGAGUAAUAUCUUUUACGGUCAUGCGCCCUUGAUGAGUGGUCUAUUUUUACUAAAUCUCGAUAGUAGUGACACUACAAAAAAAGACACAUCCGUGACAUUUUGGGCCGAACGAAAUUUUUCUCUAUCAUACAUAUGACACUUCUAUGACGAUAAUUGUGACAAAACCCGGUAUCAUCAUAGAUGUGGUGGGCUCCUACUUCUAUGACAAAAAAUCAUGACAGAAAAUGGGCUUUUCGUCCUGGGCGGGCCGGAGAUGCAGCUGCAUGACAUUCUUUGGGCCGUCCAUGACGGAAAAAACGUGGCAGAAGCGAGGGGGAGGAAAAUUUCGGGGAGUUCCCGAUUACGGUGGGAGGUCGGGGGCUGAGCGAUGCGCGUUUCUCUCGUACAUGUACGCGCUUGUGUGCGAGGCGUUGGCUCUAACUGAACCCGAGCGAGGCGUUGGGCUCUAACUGAACCCGAGCGAUUGCACUGCAGGCUACGCGUUACUGAACCCGAGCGAUCGAUCGAUGGCUGCUAACUGAACCCGAUCAAGCGAUUCCUUUNNNNNNNNNNNNNNNNNNNNNNNNNNNNNNNNNNNNNNNNNNNNNNNNNNNNNNNNNNNNNNNNNNNNNNNNNNNNNNNNNNNNNNNNNNNNNNNNNNNNNNNNNNNNNNNNNNNNNNNNNNNNNNNNNNNNNNNNNNNNNNNNNNNNNNNNNNNNNNNNNNNNNNNNNNNNNNNNNNNNNNNNNNNNNNNNNNNNNNNNNNNNNNNNNNNNNNNNNNNNNNNNNNNNNNNNNNNNNNNNNNNNNNNNNNNNNNNNNNNNNNNNNNNNNNNNNNNNNNNNNNNNNNNNNNNNNNNNNNNNNNNNNNNNNNNNNNNNNNNNNNNNNNNNNNNNNNNNNNNNNNNNNNNNNNNNNNNNNNNNNNNNNNNNNNNNNNNNNNNNNNNNNNNNNNNNNNNNNNNNNNNNNNNNNNNNNNNNNNNNNNNNNNNNNNNNNNNNNNNNNNNNNNNNNNNNNNNNNNNNNNNNNNNNNNNNNNNNNNNNNNNNNNNNNNNNNNNNNNNNNNNNNNNNNNNNNNNNNNNNNNNNNNNNNNNNNNNNNNNNNNNNNNNNNNNNNNNNNNNNNNNNCCCGAUCAACAGGACCCCUGUUUCGACCGUAGGAGGUCCGUUUCCUUCGUUUUGCGGUACGCCACACCCCUCCCGAUCAACAGGACCCCAUUCCGAACGUAGGAGCUCUGUUUCCUCCGUUUUGCGGUACGCCAGGCCUCGUUUCCAUCGUCUGUUCCGUCCAAGCCCUCCCGAUGAACACGACCAUGCAUUCCGUUCCGACCCACCCGGUUGGCUCCCACGUGUUCUGUUGCCUCCCGAUGAACACGACGCAUUUCGUUGCCUCCCCAUGAACACGACGCAUUUCAUUGCCUCCCCAUGAACACGACGCAUUCCGUUGCCUCCCCAUGAACACGACGACGAUGCUGUUUCUCCGUUCUGACCUAGCCAUGUAUACGAGCCCUGGUCGUACAUAUGCGCGAGUAGGCGUUUGAGACCCCGCCCAUAUGUACACAUACGUGGCCGUAUUUUCUUUCUUGCACCCUAGCCGCUGUACGUACAUGUACAUGCUACGUGCGUGCCUCUACUACGACACGUGCGCGCCUCUACAUCCACCAGUGUAUAUGUACGUACACGUUCGCGACCAGAAUGACAACGUUACGUACGCUUCGACCAGGUGGGUCCCGACUCUCAGGCACUUCCUUGCGUGCGAAGAUGUAGCUGGUGGGUCCCAGCAGUCAGGGGGAAACAUUUUUUCCGCGAAAUACGAUGGCCCGUCCGGUGGGUCCCCGCUGUCAGGUGCAGGAAUAAUUAUUUUACACGUAAUAAGGAGGCACUUCCUUGCUGCGGCCAUGGACCCAGCUGUCAGCCUCUCCACGUGCAGUCCACGUCCGAUGGAAGCCGUUCCUUGACCAUGUUGACCACGCCGCGCCGAGAGCACCAGGUCGGUGGACGGCGGUGAGGCCUAGGAAGGGGACGACGCGAAGCCGGGGAAGACGCGGCAGUGGAUGCCCACACAUAGAGGAGUACGAGGGUUCACUGGUUCGCUGCGGUGUGAGGUUGCCGUCGCCGCAGAAUAACAGAGAGUGUGGGUGAGUAGAGGGAUGGUCUGGCCAGCGGUGGGAGUAGUAGGGGGCGAUGAGGCCUCCGCCGCAUCGCAGCCGGCCACGGGAGGCAGGAGCACAAGGCACGACCGGCGCUGGUUUGGGUGGCUGGAGCAAGAAGACCAGAAGUUGAAGAAGCACUACGGUCGUUGGAUGGACAUCGUACGGUCACUGGAGCUAGAAUCAUGCAUAUUGACUAAGUUGACAAAGCCCUCCAUCCCCGUCAACUUAGUAGGCCCACAAGUCAGCCUACCACUAUACUGGGUCCUAGCUAACAGGGGGAGUAUUCAUUUUUUGUGCGUAAUAAGGAGGCACUUCCUUGCGUACGAAGAUAUAUCUGGUGGGUCCGAGUUGUCAGCGGUGGUAACAUUUUUUUCGCGAAAUACAGAGGCCCUUUCGAUGCGUCCCUGAUGUCAGGUGGAGGAAUCAUUAUUUUGCGCGUAAUAUGGAGGACUUUUCUUGCAUGCGGCCGUGAACCCAGUUGUCGGCCUCUCCACGUACAGUCCACUUCAGAUGCAUGUCGGUCGUUGACUAGGCCGCGCCGAGAGCACCAGGGCGGUGGACGACGGCGAGGCCUAGGAAGGGAAUGACAUGGAGGCAGGGAAGACUCGGCAGUUGUUUCCCACGCGGAGGGGAGUACGAUUGUACGAGGGUUUACUGGUUCGUCUGCCGUCGCCGGAGAAUAACAACAGGUGUGGGUGAGUAGAGGGAUGGCUAGGCCAGCGAUGGGAGUAUGGUGGGGCGGUGAGGCCUGCGCGGCAGCAGAGCUGGCCGUGGGGAGGAGGGAGCAGGCAGUCCCGCCGGCGCUUGUUUGAGCGGAUGGAGCAGGAAGAGCAGAGAUUGAAGAAGCACGACGGCCAUUGGAUGGCCACCCAACAGUCACUACUUGUGCGUCAACCUUUUUUUUAGGAAAUCCUCAAAUCCGUGGAAAACAGCAUACAACCCAUUUGCCAUUAUUUCUAAUAAUUUACAGCCCAUUUGCUAAUUAUUAAGGCUUUUUUGGAGCCCAUAUUCUUUUUGUUAGCAUUACAUCCCAUAUUGUGGCCACGGUUAAAAAAUUAUACGAAAUUUUGCAUAUUUCGGUGCGGUUCGAACUGUUUUUAAUCCCGAAAUUUCAACUCACAUUCAAACUGAUUUUAAAAAUAAAUGUAUAUCAAUAUAAAAUCCAACAAAUUCUCCAUGCAUAAAAAUUAAUGUAAUUUAAAAUCUCGAAAUAAAAAAGAUAUUUGAAACUAAUUGCCGGUUUGAUGUGUUUUAAAAAUGUACAAACCAUUUCUCAUUACUGAUGGGCCAUUUUUUCGGUCAGCCGAAUGAAAGCUCUCCUCGUCUUGAAAGAUUUGCAGCCCAACAGGCCUGACAAAGCGACUUGACAAAUCACAAAAAAACUGGGCUAUGGCCGUGGACCCAGCUGUCAGCCUCUCCACGUAUAGUACUCUUCCGAUGGAAUGUCGUUGACCAUGUUGACCACGCCGCACCGAGAGCACCAAGGCGGUGAACGACGGCGAGGCCUUGGAAGGGGAUGAUGCGGAGCCGGGGAAGAUGCGGCAGUGGAUGCCCAGGCGGAGAGGAGUACGAGGGUUCACUGGUUCGGCUGCGGUGUGAGGCUGCCGUCGCCGCAGGGCCUGGCUAGCGGUGGGAGUAGUAGGCGGCGAUGAGGUCUCAACGGCAGCAGAACCGGCUAGUGGAGGCAGGAGCAGGCGGUCUCCCCGACGCUGGUUUGGGUGGCUGGUGCAAGAAGAGCAGCGAUUGAAGAAGCAGCAGGACCGUUCGAUUCAAAUCCAACGGUUACUGCUGCUAGAAUCGUUUGUUGACUAAGUUGACAAGCCCUGCGUACGCGUCAACUUGGUAGGCCCACAGGUCUGCCUCCCAACCGGUGCGCCCCAGAUGUCAGUGGGAGGAAUCAUUUUUUUCGCGUAAUAAGGAGGCAGUUGAUUGUGUGCGGCCAGGCCAGCGGAGGGAGUAGGGUGGGCCGGGGAAGCCUGUGCGACAUCACAGCGGGCCACAAGAGGAGGGAGCAUGCAGUCCCGCCGGCACUAGUUUAGGCGGCUGGAGCAGGAAGAUUAGAGAUUGAAGAAGCACGUCGGCCGUUGGAUGGACAUCCAACAGUCACUGCUGCUAGAAUCAUGUGUUCACUGACAAAGCCUUGCGUAAACAAGUCAGCCUCGAAAUCUGUGGUGUGUACAGCCCAUUUGCUAUUAUUUUUAUAAUUUUUACUCAUUUUAUAAUUCAUAUGGAAUUUAUUGUAGCCCGUUUUCCAUUUUUAGAAUUGCUGGCCAUUUUCUGGUCAGUACCAGGGUAAAAAAAACUAAAUAUCUGGGAAAUUUUGAAAAUUCGCAAAUUUUUGCUGGGGAAUGAAAUAUUCUUAAUCCAAAAAUUAAUAGUCAUAUUAAAAUAAAUUUAAAAUUAAAUUAGUACUAUGUCAUGUUAAAUCCAAUGAAAUACAUAUAAGAUAUCAGUGAAGAACAAAAACAAAAAAA